GCCAUGAACCACCCCCCACCCCAAACCCUUCUCUCUCUCUCUCUCUCUCUCUCUCUCUCUCUCUUCCCCUUUACGCUAAAACCUCCUCUCUCUCUCUCUCUCUCUCUCUCUCUCUCUCUCUCUCUAGGGCUCCACCUCUGCCCCAGGAGUGGAGAUCGGCGGCGGAGACGGCGGGACUCGCCCUGGUUGUGAUUGCGCUGUAGGUUUUCAUCGACGCACCUAGCACUAAACCCACUUCAAAACCCUAGCCUUUUCUGUCCAUUUUUGCGAUCUUCUUAAAGCAAAACGAUCCUUUUUACAAGAAAAAUGUUGUUUUCCUGAUCAAAUCUGACCUUAGUAGUCGUUCUCCGUUUGGAUUCUACUUGUUCCUGCCUUUUCCUGUAUCUCCUAUGACUAUUUCAUGGUGUAUUCGUUGAAUUAAAUUGGUUAUAAUCUAAGUUAGGGUUAUAAUUGGUCGAUUUGAUUGAGUGUAUAUUAUUAUAAUGUCGUUCCCUAGUAGCUUAAGCUUUUAUGGUUGCUUUCAUUUGAUAUCUGAGAAGUUUGAAUCUUUUUAGGUUCCUAGUGUGAUUUAAUUUUCUCUGGUUUAAUGUAAGUUAAAAGUGUGAGGCUAAUUUUGAAUGUAAUGGUUGGAUUCAUUUUUAGGUUUAGUUUGGUAAUGCGGUGGAAGGCCCCCAAAAAUCUAAAAGUAUUUUUAUACUAUGAAGUUGUGGUUGCAACUGCCGCCGGAGAUCCUUGGUUGCAUGCUUCUCCGAUGACGGUCUCCAGUGGUGGUUGCCAGCGCAAUUUUAUACCAAAAGGAGAAAAAAUUUGUAGCGCUUUUGGAUAUUUUUUGGACCUUUCAAAAUAUAAAAGCGGUGGCUUUAGUCACCGCAUUACCAAACUAGGUCUUGGAGACAAACGGUUGUUUCACAUGACAUUAGAGUAGGAGGUCUCGACUUUUGAAUAUUUUUUCAAUUUUCUGGUCUCAUUUCAUCUUCUUUUGUUUUGCUGCAAGUUCACAUUGUGGGCCUAACAAAGAAGUGUCAGCAUCAGGGGUGAGAGAUAGUGUUGAAUAUAAAAUAAUGGAAUAUCUUUCUACAGUAACUUGAAAUUUUAGAGGGCUAAACUUCAAGUUGCUCCCCAAUGGUUUGGCUUAUUUUUCACUUUAUCACCAUGUGAUUCAAAAGUUGCUCUCAACUGUUCUGUGGUUUAGCUCAUUUUCACUUUGCCACCUUGUGGUUCAUAAAGUUACACUUAACUACUCUUUAUCAAAAAAAUUUACUUUGCCACCCUAUUUGAUAGUAGAUUUUUGGAAAAACUUUAAUUUACACCCCUGUGGUUCAGCGUAUUUUCAGUUUGGUAUUCUGUGGUUUGAAGUGUUUCACAUAGCUACCUCGUGGUUUUACUUUUAUCUUACCGUUAAGAUCCGUCGUUAAGUAGGGUAUUAAAUUGAUAAAAUAUAUAAACUACAAGGUAGUAAAUUAAUAUAUUUUACAAACCACAGGGUGGCGAAUUGUAGUAUUGUACUAACCUAUAUUUUUAUAUAGCCAACUUGUAGUUUGCAAAAUAUAUUAAUUUCGUACCCUACUUAAAAAUAGUUCUUAAUGGUGAGAUAAGGUAAAACCACAGGGUGCAAGGUAAAACACUUUAAACCAUAGAGUACCAAACUAAAAAUGUGCAAAAUCCCAGGGGGUGCAAAUUGAAGUUUUUUCUAGAUUUUUUGAAUAAAAAUAGAGAUAAAAUCACAGAAUAAUGAAGUGCAACUUUUUGAACCACGGUAUAACAAAGUGAAAUGAGCUAAACUUUUUUUUUUGGGGGGGGGGGGGGGGGUGCAAAUUAAAGUUUACCAAUUUCAGAGAAAAAAAAUUGUUUCUCGAACUCUGAAAUUAGGGUUGUUUUAAUUGAUAUUGUUUUGGAUCCAGCAGUAAAGAAGCUCUUGAGAUCUCUGAUGAUGGCGAGAGGAGUUGUGGGUGAGAAAUGGUCACAGCGGAUUCUGUGGGUAUGCGCGAUCGGGAGCGCAAUAAGUAUGUGGUCUUUCAUAGGAAAAUUAAUUUUCAUUCCUAUUUCAGAUGAUUUUUUUCAGCAAUUCUUGUGUCUUUCUUUGUUAAUAAUUGUUCGUCUUGAUUGUGUAGGCUUGUACUUUGUGGCCGUGGAGAGGCAGGCGCAGAAUCGGGCGCGAAUGAUGGCCGAGGGUUUGAAGAGUGUGGAUGGCUUGUCGAGCCAUUCCGGUGGUGAGGAUGUUUGAAGGUGAAUGCUCAGCAAUUUAGUUAAAAUCUUUGUCUCGUGUCCUAAUCACUAUUACAAUACAAAUUUUUACAAACAGAAUAAGGAUCAAAGGCGCACUUGUAUAAUAAUUUUUUUUUCCUAAAGGCGCACUUGUAUCUGUUGGGUUUUUUGUAUCAGCUGUUAUUUUAAAUGUUCUCUUAAAUCUUUAUUAGCAGUUUUGAAGGCUAAUUCUAUUUAUAUUGUUGAUGAUACUUGAUACACGAUAGUAUAAAGUAUUUGGAUGCUUACCUUCCGGCUGAACACCAUGUGCCCUGAAACAUGAGGAGGGCUGUCUUCUUUUGUUCACUUACUGGGAACAAAAUUCCUUUAUUGGAAUUGUUGAUGUCUGUUUGAUCACAGAUGUUUUUAUUGUAAGUACGUUGGGCCUAGUCAUUUUGAAGCAAUAUAAAAUCAACUGCUAUUGUAAGUUACACUGCUGGCUUUACUGAAUUCAGAGAGUUUCUAAUGGAUCUGAGGAAAUUGCUGUAUGUUUUUCACAUUGAACUGCUUAGAAGAUAUGAAUAUGGGAAUUGUUUCACACUUUUGGUAGGUAAGUCAAUAAUUCUGCAAAUUCCUCUGUUGUCAUGAGAUAUUUGAUCAUAUGUUUGAAUUGAUUUUCAGUGUUCGGCGUGAAUAAAUUUUUAUUACUAGGACAAGAUGAUCUUAUUUAGAAUUUGAAGAUAUCUUCGAAUUUGUUAUUGAUGGUCAAUAUAUAGUUUGCUCGACCAUGUUAGGAACUCCUGUAAUAUGUACCAUGAUAGAUUAGCUUAGGUAGCAUGAUUUCGAUAUUGUCGGUCAGAACUGUCAAUUAGGAGGCUAUGGACUAAAAUGCUACUGAAAUUCUUCCAGCUUGAUCCUUAAAUGGGUGUCUUGUAAAACUCACCAUUUUCAUUGCGUCAAUUAUCUAGUUCAAUUAUUAUGGGAAAAUCACAAAGGAUAUUCAGGUGAAUGCUAAUUAAUGGGAUUCUACUACUACUUCGCCAUUAUGAAUUUAUGAUAGUUGUUGCAGAACAAAGCGCAGUUGAGAAUGAGAUAUUUACAUAGUGAUUCUCAUGGCUACAAUUUUUUUUUUUUUGAAAAUAAUGGUUGUGUUGUUUAGGAGACUUUGGGUGGAUGUUGCUUUUAUGAGAAAUUAUAAGCAUAUAGAAUCACGAAGAGAUGGUUAAGUGGGUCAUGUUACCCAUUUUACUGAUUUGUAGUGGGUCAUGUUACCCAUUUUACUGAUUUGUAGCAUAUGGGAUGGCAUUUCUGGAUGUCAAAAGCGGUGAUGAGCAUUUGAUUAGUUUUUAAAGAAAAUUAAAUAUUAUUGUAAUUUUUGAAAUGCUAUCCAUUGCAACCAACCUGGAAAAUGCCAACUUCAGAAGCCAAAAAUGUGGAUAUCAUUUCAGUUUGAUUCGUUUAGUUCGUAUGGGUUCUUUCUUUGUUGGUCCUUUCUAUUCAAGUUCUGUCCUGUUUUGUAAAGUUUUCUUUAGUGUGAUAGCAAUGGUGGUUAUGCAGUAUUUGAGUCAGAUUGAGGCUCCUUUACAGUUAUUAUUAUAGCUGUCAAUUUUUGCAUAGAUAAAUAUACAUACUUGAGUUAAAUAUAUGUAAAUACUGAAAUAGAAUAUGGUUUAUUCCAGAUUUCUAUAUAAAAAAAUGGAUAUACAUUGAAAGUUUUUUCCUAUGUGAAAAACAAACCAAAGCAACUUUGUUAGAUUCUUUUAUUGGAUUCGUUCAUUACCUUCAUCAUGCAAGUAUUAAAAUGUCUAGAUAAUGAUAUAACACAAUGAGUUAUGUAAGUUAGGGAGUAGUACCUUUAUGUACGAGAUGAGGUAAACAGAGUGUGAGAAUGCUUUUAAUAACAUGCUUGGACACGGAUGUAUCAACAAAUAUUUUCGCUGAAGUGUGCACGAGGCUUAUUUUAAAUUUUGUUCCCAAAAUGUUGUUAUCUUUAUUUCGCCGCUUCCCGUUUUGAUUGUCUCUCUCAAAUCACGGGGGGUCUUUUUGAUGUUUCUAUGCAUCAUGCUGAAAUAAUUAAGGCUGAUGAUAGUAUAGUUGCGUGAAAACAGAACUGCAUUAUGAUCCUCAUAGUUCUUGGAUAGGUUGGGUUUGCGUCGCUUGAUCAUGCUGUUAUAGCUAGUUUGCAAGUUUGUGUUCUAUAGGGCCAUGUAAGGGGCUGAAUCCUUUCCAUACAAGUGAAAGGAUCUCCAUAUGCUACCGAGUCUUUGAACAAAUUCUGGAUAAAUAAUCUGUGUGUGAUUUUUGAUAACUUGGUAACCCAAUAAGCUAUGUCUUGUGUGCUACCAUUACAUUGAGUGACUGCUACUAGAUAAACUUGCUGGUCGAAUUCCGAACUAAUGUACUUGAGUUCAUCUCAAAACCUUAUGAUUUCUUUGGCUCUUCCUUCUUUGUUGUUUUGACUGCGAUGUAGCUCUUGUCGCGCCACUAAUAUCAUACAAACUAGAAGAUAAGCUGGUUUCAUUAAGGACUAGAAAUGUAAAUUUUUUGUUUUGAAGGCUGUGCCAAUGAAAGGGCAUCAGAUUUGUUAGACCCUAGAGAUGAAUGCGAAUGAGGACAACUUGUUUGGCCUGUUUCUUGGGACAGCUUCUCUACUUCUGAGAAGCUGUUUCUGGAUAUUUGGUGAAUAAAAGAACCUGCAGCUUUUGUUGCGGUGGAAAAGCUCAAAUGAGCUAUGAGGCACUAAAGCCAGAAGCUCCAAGUUGUAGUUUUUACUUCUACCGCAGGAGAACAGUGUUGGAAGGUACUAACCAAAAACCUGAUUUUUUUUUUGGAACAAACUUGAUUCAAACAACAGUUUGGAGGCUUUACUCUCUACAAACAAGAUCGAAAGCAUACGCAUAUUUUCUUUUGUUUUAUAUAUUUGUGCUUAAAUUCUUUAAUAAGUGCUCUAUGUUCUUACUUUGGAGAUAUUAUGGAAUAGUCCUCGUGGAUUGUGGUGAUGAUGCUUUGUGAUUAUAGUUAUUACUCUAAUAACCUUUUCAUGAGACUUUUCGAAUCUAAUAGGAUUCUUGUAAACUAAACAUAUGUCCACAAAAUUAGCUGCUAUCAAUUGUAGAUGGGGUUCUUUAAAUUGACUAAAUGUGCUGUAGCUCUACCAGGAGAAAAAAUUAUAUUGUUAAAGCUUGGAACGAACUUUGUCGAUUUUCACAUAUACACUCUCGGUCGACUUAGGUCUUUCAUUUCAUGUCGAUUUAUAGGUCGGAAUAUAUAUAUAUUUUUUCUGGUGUUAUGUUCUGAGCUUUGUUUUGGGCCUUCUUUAGAAAAAGUGUUGCUCUUUGAUAUUGCUCUCUUUGCUUUGUUUUAUAUGAAUUCUCUCAUCUUCUUGAUUAAUAUGGUGCGAUUCAUCGGACGGUGGAGACUGUAAGUAGAGACAUGUCACAGUAACAGAGCCCUCAUAUGAUGGUCUUUUUAAGAGGAUCUCCUUGAAUGGUUUUUCUCCGAGAUUUCGCGCUUCCCCUACUCAUUUAGCUUCAGUAAUUGGGACAUUGUUCUGUAAAAGCCUCUGCACUGCGAAACUGUGCACUGUUCUACUCUGCAUUGUCUCAUUGUUUUGUAUCUCUCUUCUCCUCUCAACUGUUUCUUUUUCUAUAUUUAGCGUUCUAAUUCAUUUUUUAAUGAAUUCGCAGGUUUAGCUCUGCACUGUUUCUUCAGAAAAAGUAAGUAUUAUCCUCGUUGGUUAAUAACACUAAAUAAUUGUUGGCUAUUGCUCCCAUAGCAGUUAUCAUGCUCUUUUCAUGCUCAUAUUAUUGUAGGGCUGAAGUUUUUAGACAAAGUGAAUGAAGCACUCGAAUGUAUGUACAUUUGCCGAUAAAGACCUAACAAAGGACUCCAUGAUUUCGAUGUAGGAGGUUGCGAACUCGCUGAUCCUUCGAGCUGUUUUAUCCGGUAUGCAAACGGGGCCUAAAUGUUAUGGAUUCUGCGGAUUAGAGUGAUCUCUCAUUGUUGUUACUUAAAUAUAACAUUUUUAGAACAUUGAUUAGGGAACUCGCAAAUGGAAAGCCGAGUUUUGAGAAACCUUGAUGCUCGGACCGGUCGGCCCAUUUUCUGUUCCAAUAAAAUCAUAACAAAGCCCGCAUAAAAACUACCAAGUAAUUGUGGAUCGUAAGCGCUGACCAACGAUCCCAAAAGUAUGCACGGAUAGAAAGGGUACAUCCGUCGCACUCAAAGCUCGGCUGCAAAGCCUCACGGGUUUCGACCUGACUCAACCUAUCUAGACUUUAGGUCUAUUGUUGGGCUUUUUACCGUUAGGUCUAUUGUGGACCGCAAUCCUACUCAACUUAUUAGACUCAUCUAGCUCAAUUUAUUAGUCUCUCGGGCCUAUUGUCAUAGGGUAGUAAGUUGGACCUAUUUUAAUCAAUAAUAAAUAGCCAAUAGUUAGUAGUAUUAGCGACUAAUUACACCUUUCCUUGUUCACACAAGAUGAGCCCAUUUUUCUCAUCCUUUGGCUUAUUUGGUGUUGCUGUAAGGGGUGAUGUUGUUUGAUGAAGUGCUUCUGGAGGAGUGUUGCACUAAACAACUCCUUUUAGGUGCCAUUUGGUUAUAUGUAGUUGCAAUUAUACUGCAGUUGUAACUAUAUGUAAAUACAAAUUUUGUGUUUAGUUUGAUGUAUUUAACUCCAACUGUUGCAGGAGGAACUGCAAGAGGAGACCUAACUGUAGCAGUUCGAACUACGCCCAAAUUGGCCGUAGUUCUAGCUACAGCAGUUAGAGAGAGUAACUUUAAAUAAAAUGUAUGCUUACCUCCUCAGUAUUUUUUAAACAAAAAUUAUUUUUCUUUUUUACAUUGGAGGUAAUCUCACCAUCAUAUAUAUAAAAUAAUAAAAUUUUAAAAAUUAUUUCUCAACCGUAUGCAGCCAAACAAAUUAUUUAUACUUACAGCACUUUCUACUACAUCCAACCAAAUAUGAUUCAUAUAGUUGUAACCAUAGUUAGUUAAUUCGGAUUCGGCAAAAAUUCGGUACGGAUAUUAUACGCAUAAAAUUCGUUUUCUAAUUUUUAAAUUUAUUGAAAAAUUCAGCUUAAAAAACAGAUUCGGUAUAAAAUAUAAAAUAUAAGAUAUAAAAUAUAAGACAAUUUAUAUUUAAAAAUAAAAAUUAUAAAUUUUUUAUUCAUAUUUUCAAUAAUUCGGCAAUAAUUCGCGAAUUAUUCGCGAAUAAUUCGGUUGGCCCAAAAAUUCGCGAAUAAUUCACUUUCUUUGGGAAAAAUUCAUAAACAGACCGUUUAAUUCAGAUUUUCAAUAAUUCGCGAAUAAUUUGUGAAUUUACUAACUAGGGUUGUAACUAUUGUAUUUCCAACUGCAUGCAUAUCUAACUGCACUGCAUUUAUAAUUACAUCUAACCAAACGGUCCCUUAGAAAUUCUCUCUAGAGCCAAAUUAGAAGAUUUAGAUUGGAGUUCUCAUCUUUGGGGCUCAAAACUACCUUCCUGUUUUUCUCUACAGCAGAAGCUAGCUCUAGGCCUUUCCAAUUGCAGAACACUCUUUCAUAUCAGUAACUGCAGCUGAAAGCAAAAGCAGAAGCAAGUUAAACAUGCCUUUUCUCUCCCUAUCUCAAUUGCACCAACCUUUUAGCAAAGCAUGGACUCCAAAAUGGUCAAGCAAAAGAAAGAAAGAAAGAAAAGUUAGAAAAGAAGGUAACAAUUUGAUGCUUUAGUUGUGUGAGUUUCACACACAAGUGGUGCUAAAAUUAUAUGCUAGAGUGUGUAGACUUAAUGAUAAUUAAUUAAUUAAUUAGGUCCUCCCAUUGUAGUGCAUCUCUUUUUUAUUUGGGAGUAGGAGGAUUGUGAGGUAAGGCCCCAUCAUUCUCCUAUUGUCAUCCUCACCACCUUUUCCUCAAUUAAAAAUUAAAAAAAAGCACAAUGUAUCAACAGUCCUUGUAUUAUCCCUAUAUUGUGACUUGGUUUUUAUACUUUUCAUUCGAAUACUUUAGGGGCUGUUUGGUUUAGCAGAAAAGCAUGAAAAAAAAAAAUUUGAGAAAAUUUUUUUCCACGAAUUUUUUUUUUUUUUUUUUUCUUGGUCCAUUUAGUUUCAAGAAAAAUUAGCUUUCUUUAAGAUAGUUUCUUUCCAAAUUUUAUGGAAAAGUAGUGUUUGUUUUUCUAAAAAAGAAACUAGAAAAAGAAAAUAUUAACUUGCCAUGAAAUUUGUUUUUUUUUUUUUUCAAAAAAACUAGUUUUCUUUGAAAUCAAACAGACGGAAAAUUGAAACAAAGAUUUUUUAUGAAAAACUUUUUUUUUGAAUUAUUUUUUUCCUGCUUUUCUGAGGAACCAAACACUCCUUAGUCUCUGAAUAUUAGAAAAAUAUAACAAUUCUUAAAACUUGACCAUUUUAUCUAUUGUAAACGAUUUAUUUCUUUCACCUUAGUCAAGCACGAUUAAAUAUUAUUUUACAACAAAAGUCUGCUUUCGCUUGUAUAAUGAUCAGAAAUUAAGUAUAACAUAUGUGAAAGUUCAAGAAUUAAAGUAUUCAAAUGAAGAGUACAAUGACCAAGGUAUAUCAUACGGGAAUGUUACAAGUACCAUUCACAAAUUUCUUUCCAAAAAGGUAAUAUAUAUAUAUAUAUAUAUAUAUAUAUAUAUAUAUAUAUAGAUGCCUCUUAAUAUAAUCCAUGGGUGGUGGUUAAUUAUGGGCACUCCAAUCCUUCUAAUCUUUUGAUCAUUUCCCACCUUUUCCUUUUCCCUCACUACUAAACCCACAAAGCUAAUGUCAACAUCAACUUGAUCCUAAGCAUCCUAAACAUGAUCUUUGAUCCUUGGACUUUGUUUUGAGCCACCAACAAUAACCACAAACUUUUUCUCUAUUUUUUUUUUCCUCUUUUUUUUCAUAAUUUGAUAAGAUAAUUCCAGGUCGGAAAAGUAAUCGAUACGGUAGCGUGCGGUGCUAAACUUUGUUAAUCAAUAAAAAAGGAGACAAGGAUAGGGGAAUCUUUGUAAUUUGGUUACUUCUUAAUUGCCUUCUGGGUGAGGAUCUUAGGGCCUUUACUUUUGUCUAUUAAUGGCAUGUAACACUAUAUAAAAUGUGAUCAAUAGAAGUAAAGUUGAAAACAUAGAAUAUUCCAAUUUUAAAAGGCAUGGGAGGUUAUUUAUUAAGGGCUUAGAUAGAUCAAUGUAGUACAUUUCUAUUCCAAGGGGCCUUGGAAAAUUUCAAAGAGGCAUUUUGAUUAAUGGGUCAUAAUAAGAUGGAAAUUACCUUUUACUUUGGUGCUUAAAACAUUGAAAACUUAAAAUGAGAUUUUUGUUGUCCACCUUUUUCCCCUAAUUAAAAGAAAUGGAAUUUUGUUGCUAACUAUUGCAAAUUUUUUUUCAAAAGAAAAAAGAAAUACUGAAUAUGAUAUUCACGCAUCUGAAUGGUGUUCUUAAUUAUUAUAGAAUAAACACUUAAGUAAUAUUAAGAAUUUUUCUAAAGAAAAAUUCUAGUCGUACACCCGUCGAAUAGGCAUAAAUUUUAGACCCAAUCUGUCCAAAGGUUAUAUCAACCUUUCGGGUUUUUAAUAUUAAAAAAAAUAUGCUAUAGUACAUUGAAAAGGAAGAUGUAAAUCUUAUCCGCUUUCAUCCAAGGGCUAAUAUUUCACACUUAUCUAUUUUUUUUGUUAAUCCUAAAUAUCUAAAAAUGUUUUUUAAUCCUUUUGGAUUGAAAAGUGUUAGAUAUGUAUCCACUUUUCAGAUGUACAGAUAAUAUUUUUUUAACAAAAGAUAAAAAUAUGCGAAAUUUAUUUGAACUAUGGACUAUUUUGAGUUAACUAUCUAUCUUUACAAAACAUUGAUUUUACUGUCAAUCGUGUAUAAUUUUCAGUCAACGGUACUAUUACUUUAAAAUUUAAAUAAGUUGUCUGCUUUAAUGAAUUUAUAGUUGCUAGAAUAGUAUAAAAUAUUCUAACUAAACUUACAAAGACAAACAAUAUACUCAAAUUUUGAAGUCAAAAUGCCAUUAAUUGACUCUAAUCAAACAAAUUGUCAGAUUGAGUAGUAAAAUCAAAAUUUCGAAAGGUUAGAUAGUCGACUCAAAAUGGCUUAUAGUCUAGAUAAGUUAUGUACAUUUUUUUUUAAAAAAAGUAAAGAAAUGUGUUGUGAAAACCCAAAUUAAGCAUGGUUUGACUUUGCAAAUGAGAGCAAAGGGAGGGAUUAGGAGUUAGGUAAUCCAAGGGAGGAAACAAAACGAAAAAAAGAAAAAAAGAAAAAGAUACAAAGCAAUUAAAAAGACAAACCAAAGAGAAAGAGUGAGAGGGAGAGGAUAAGGAAAGGAGAGGGAGUAGUGGUAAUAAUUACAAUCCAAGGAGACAACAAUCAAUCGCUUGUCACUAUCUCCUGGCAACAUNCCCAGUACUUGUGCUGCAUGUGUGUAACAUAGAGUGUGACAUGACAUGCACUAUAGAAUGUUAUAAAAGGGCUUUAUUUUUUUAGCCAAAAAUCAUUAAGCACCGUUUGGCUCGGGGUUAAGGAAUAGAAUAACUUCUUAAUUCAAAAGUUAUUCACAAACACCUAAUUUAGGAGGUGGGAUUAACUAAUCCCAUCCCGCCCUACUAUUCAAACCAAACAAAACACUAGUUUAUCCACUAUCCUUUUUAUUCCACCUUCUCCAACCAAACACUAUUUUAUCUAUACCUGAAGUAAACUCAAUUCUCAAUCAAAUACAAAAUUACUCUAACUCUACCUUAACCCUGAACUGAACUUAUAACUCUAUUCCUGGAAUAACAAGUUUUUACUUAACCCCGAACCAAACGGUGGCUAAGACAUUUUUUUUUUUUUUUUAGGGAUAUAUGGAUAGAUAUAAGUUUAGGAUUCGUUCUUAAAUAGACUAAUUUUUACGUUUAAAUAAAAAUUGAGUUGUUUUCGAAAAUAAAAAAAAUAGCGUUUGAAUAUAUAAGAUGGAAUAAGAAAAAUAGUGAGUAGUUAUAAAUAGAAAAUAAUGAUAUUGUUCCUUAUAUUUAAAUUUAAAUUUUUAAAUCUUAUAUUUAAAUUUAAAUUUUUAAAUUUUAUAUUUAAAAUUUAAAUUUUAAAUAUAUAACUUUUUAAAAAAAUUCAAAAUAAAAUUUUAAAUUUUAAAUCUCAAAUUAAAAAAUUUAAAGUUCUAAAUUUUAAAUUUAAGAUUAAAUUUAAAUUUUAAAAAUAUCAAAUUUUAAAUUUAAAAAUAAAAAAAUAAUAAUUUAAAAUUAUAAAUACUAAUUUUAAGAUUACAAAUUUUUUAAAAUUUAAAAUUUAAAAUAUAAAUAUAAAUUUAAAAAUAGAAUUGGGGUGGAUUAGUUAAUCCCACCCUAAUUCCAUAGAAAGGUAACCUCACCCUUUUUAGGGUUAUCCCGAAACCCCACCCCUCCAAAAACUUGUUUGGGGCACACGAGAUUCACGUAUUAAUCCGCAUCUAAUAUAUGGUACAAAAUAGUACACAUAAUAAGGUGUUAUGUCAUGACUGUGAAAGGGGUUCAGGUUAGGAACCUGGGCGAUGAUGUGAGAUACGUAUGGAUAAGUGGAUGAUAAGGAAUAAUGCUCAGUUUGCUGGAAACAAAAGGAUUGGACUAAUAGUCAGUUAUUGAGUCAUCUGGACUAUAAGAAACGACGUUAUUUUUAAGUUGACUAAUGCUGACCCUUUAUUAACUGUCAACUUGAUCUGACUUUUGAUGCUUCAGUGGGAGGAGAACAGCUUAUUCAAACGAGCAUAUCCUAGUCCCCGAAUUUAAAUAUUCCUCUUUUUUUUUAGUUUAAAUGUUUUUUUUUUGUUUAGGCCUAGUUCGGAGGUUCCUUACCUCACUCUUGUAGUUUAAUUUAUUUCUUUAAUGAAUGAAGCAUGUAGCGUACUACGUAUACCUUUCUCUCUCAAAAAAAAAAUGGCGCAAAAAAAUUAUUUUCUAUAAUAAUAAAGCUAUUGAAUAAAGAUUUAGAUCUCUAUAAUAUAUACAUGUUAUGGUUAUAUUUUGUAUCUAACAUGAAUCUAUUAUUCUUAACACUUAUUACAUCUAAAAUCUUUAUAGGAGACAUAUACCACGUACUCAUCAAGUUUUGUUGGUGGAUUUGUACCCAAGUUAUAUGUUUUAAUGGACCCUACUCCCUAGCUAGCUACUAUUUUGGCUCAUGUUCAAAAUUCCAGGUUGAAAUAAAUUUAAUUAUAGACACAAAAAUGGAGGUUCUAAUUGAAAAUUUUGUAGUUUGGUUUUUGAUAUUUGAAUUUUACAAUUAGAUUUUAAAUAUUUCUUAGUUAUUUUAAUCAAAUUUUUUGUAAAUUUUUAAUCAAAAAAAGUUCGUCGCCUUAUACGUUAUUAAUGCUAACAGGUUUUUGACAAAUUAAGGGAAUUGAUUAAAAUAACUAAAACAUAAUAGAGAUCUAAAUAUUAUAGCUAAUGGUUAAAAUUGAAGGUGAAAAAAAAAAAUUCAAAUAACGAUUAGGAACUAAUGAAGGUAUGCAAUUUAUUCCAUUUGAAUAAAUAAGAAUUAAUGUUAGUGACACUUUUACAAGUUUCAACAUCUUGUUGGGUCUAUGCCAUCGUGGGGCCUUAAUAAUAGAAUUAAUAUUUUAACCUAUACUUAGAUUUGAUUUGAUAUGGAUAUAUAGUAGUUGCUCAGUGUAGGCUUAUCAAUUCAGAUUUGGAUCUUCUGUGGUCCAAGAAUUAAUCCGACCUUUUAAAAAUCAUUUAGUUUUAAGGAUAUAACUAAGUAUAUAUAUAAGAACUAAGAUUGUUAAUUAUCUUUUUAAAAAAUAAAUCAAUCAAUAAAUAAUAUAAAUAAGCUUCUAAUUAAUACUACGUACUUCAAACCGGCCGUCCCUAGAGCAAGUGGCAAAGACAUUGGUGGUCGGUACCCGAGACAUAAGUUCAAAUUCUAGUUGAUUCACAUUUCUAGCUAAGUUUAUUUCUAAAUGAAAUAAAUGAAGUGGAUAGCGUGCUACCUAUCUCUAAAAAAAAAAAUAAAAAAAUUAAUACUACUUCAAAAGGUUUCUAGUGCAUCAUAUAUAUGCAAGUGCUAUGUAUUUAUCAUCAAACUAUCUGUGAAUAUUUUAAGAUAAAGAAAUCAAAUUAACAGUUUUCUAAUGUUGUUUAAUUAUGUGAAAAUUUUCAAUUAAACUCUUAAUAAUCCUGUCCAAAAUCCAUUACAAUAGUCAUGUGUAUAUUUAAUUUUAAUUAUUUAGCUAAAUUAUAAAAAAAAUUUCUGUAAAUACCUAUUUUUUACUCUCCCUCCCUAAUUUUCAAAAAUCUAUAUUUUACCCCCUCAACAUUUCAUAUCGUUGCAUUUAGCCUCCCUCCGUCAGUAUUUUAUUACUAUUCCAUCAAUUUCUUAUAAUUUAUACCGAAAUAUCCUUAAAAAUGAUAGAAAUAUAUUAAAAAAUUAUUUUUCUUAUAGAAAAAAUAAGAGCAAUUUGAUCAUUUAGCCUUCUCCAUUAAUAUCGUACUCCUCUAAAAAUAUUCUAAAAAUUUAAGUGGGAAAAAUAUAGGUUUUUGAAAGUUAGAGAGGAAAAGUGAAAAAGCAGAUAUUUGUAGGGAAGUUUUCUGUAAUUUAGUGUAAUUAUGUUUUGCCCAAUUUUGCCCACCUUAGUUAUUAAAAUCUGGUUUCAUUCGAUCGAGUUUCAUUUGGUUUAAUUUGUUCAAUUCUCUCAAUACACAUUUACGUAAUUUCAUUAAUUAUAUAUGAUUCAUCUCAAUACACAUUUUUUUUCUCUCUCUCAAUACACAUUUACAUAAACUCUUUUUCAUCCUAGAUAAUUCGAUUUGAGAAUCCACACCUUUAAAUAUAUUCAUUAAUUAUAUAUGAUUCAUCUAGAAUAUUUUAAGUCUCCAUUAUAUAUAUUCCAUGUUUUUCUAACAUUUUCUAUGUACUAAUCAAAAUAUCUUAAAUCGAUAAUUUUAUUGGCCGAUAUGAUGUAGAUUAUUAUUUUAUUGUAGAAUAAAAUCAUUAGUUUGAUCUUCAAUAUUUAAAGAACUCUAUCAUCAAUUUUUAUAUGAUCAUUCAAUUCAAACUGUUCGUAAUGUAGCAUAUACAAAAAAAAAUUAAAAUAAUUUUAAAUUCUAAAGACUUUUAAUACUCUAAAUUAUAUUUAGCAGCAAGGGUGAAUGAUAUAUCCCGAAGCCAUAUUAUCAAAAAUAAACUUUAGAAUACGAUUGUACUACACUAAUAAUUUUUAAGAAUUAUAACAUUCUAGAGAUUUAUAAUACUCUUAAUCAUAUUUAGCACGAGUCCAGCUAUUAUACUCUUAGGAAUAUAGACCCUUUUGUAUUCAUAAGUUUUCGGCCGUUAGAUCUACCCCUUUGACUAUUUCCACUCGUUAGAUUAUAUUAUUCAACUAACCACCCAUUCAACCCUAGAAGACCACUAUUAUCCUAACCGCACAUCACUUCAUUCAACGACUGAAAAUUUAUGAGAAUUUAUGAGUACUAAAGAGUCUUAUAAGAGUAUAGUAAACCUAGGCUAUAUAUUUAACAGUAUGGAUUAAUGAUUCGAAAGCUAUAUUAUCAAAAAUAAUAUCUAAGAUAUAUACUACAACAAAAGCGGUCUAUAGCGACACUUUUAAAUAUCGGUACAGGUUAAAAAAAGUGCUGCUGGCUAAAUUACCGACACUUUUAAAAAGUAUUGCUAUAUGUGGGGUCGCUAGGUAUAUAGUGACAGUUAAAGAGUGUCGGUAUAACCUAAAAAGAGUGCUACUAAUUUACUAACACUUAUUCAAGCAUUUAGCAACCGCCGGAACUCUAUCUCUUUGUCUGCGGUGGCGGAGGAUGAGGAGAGGAAAGAGACUCUUCGUCUAGGAUUUCAGUGGAUUGAGUGAGGGAAGAAGGGAAGAUGGUAAUUAAUUUUUCUUUUUUUUUUCUUUUUUGUUGUAAUCGUGCUGAAUGGGCUGGAUGGGGUGGGUUGAGUAGAGUAACUUUUUAUUUUUGGUUGAAUUGGGCUUUAUAUUUAGACAUUAGUAGAUUUCUUUUUAAGUUUCGGUAUAAAUGGGACACUUACACAAAAGUGUUCCAAACAUGUGUCGUUAUAACCUAAUUCUGUUGUAGAUAUACGAUUGUCUAGAUACUGUUAACAUCACCAUGACUGAAGUCUAUCUAUAUUAUUAUUAUUAUUAUUAUUAUUAUUAUUUUGUAAUACUCUGAAUAAACAUGCAUGUAUCAGUAACAAUGUCCCUCCCCGACCGUUUGGUUUCUGCAGUUCACUUUUUUGUUAUUGAAAAUAGUGUAGUCAUUCACUUUAUAGUUAAUAUAUAUUAAUUUUUUAGGUACAUUAAUAUUUUUUGGUCUUCAAAAUGUAAAGUACACACUUUAGUUCUCAAAUUUUAAUUUAAUUUAUUAUAACUUCUUGCUUGAACCUUUUAAAUUGUUAUAAUAUAUCAAGUCUUACAACGAAAUUUAGUUGACCAAAUAUUAACUUAUCUUAAUCUAAAAGUGGUAUACUUUAACGUGUUAUUAAUCAUAAUGCUAUUUUAUUAUUUCCACAUAAGCAACACAUCAAUAUCUAGUAAAAUAAAUUGAGUUGUGAGGUUGGAUUAUAAUAAUUGUACGUAAAAGAAUUAUAAUAAAUCAAAAAUUGAGAACCAAAGUAUCAAGCAAUUUAUAGUUUGAGAUCAAAAGUGUACUAUUUAACCUAUAAUCUUUCUAGUAUACUUAAUUAAAUGUACAUGUUAAUAGCUAAAGUAAAAGCAUCCUUUUGACGGAUUUGAAAUCCAUGUAUUUAUCCAGUCAUCUAUUGUGUGUCAACAAGACUAAAAUAAAAAAAAAAAAACAGAAAAAAAAAAAAAACAAACAAGACUAGAGUUAGGGUUUGGUGCAGUUUUAAGCACAAAUAUUAAUUACAACCAAACUCUUUUUUUUUAAAUUUUUUUUUUAUUUUUAGUUUUACAAGCCAACUGGAAUAAACCAGUUGACAAACCAAACCAAUUGAACAAAAUUAUUGGCUUUGAUUCCGUUUAACAAAGUGGUUACAUGUGUAACUCAAAAACUGAGUAUUUUUCUAUAAGAAAGUGUGUGUGUUGUAUAUAUAUAUAUAUAUAUAUAUAUAUAUAUAGAGAGAGAGAGAGAGAGAGAGAGAGAUAGAGAGAGAGAGAGAGAGAGAGAGAGAGAGAACUAGGCUAGAAUACUAUUAAUAGCAUAAGUUAUUGGUGCUAUUAAGUUUUCGGCCUUUGGAUAAAGCAAUGUGUGGUUAGGAUGAUAGUGGUUUCCCAGUAUUAAGUGGGCGGUUUGUUGAAUAAUAUAAUCUAACGGAUAGAAAUGGUCUAAGAGGUAGAUUUAAUAACAAAAAACUUGGUAGCACCGAAUGUUUAAUGCUAUCGAUAGCAUUGUAGCCUGACAAUAUAUAUAAGUUAUACCACUUAAUAAUCAAUCGCAAAAUAUAGAUCCAUGCUUGAUAUUAAAAAGAUAAAAAUGUAUAAAACUAACUUGAACUAUCGAUCAUUUUGAUUCAACUAUCCAACCUCUCAAAAUUUUAAUUUAGUACCAAACUUUUUAAUUAUUAAUUCGAUUUAGAUAUUUGAUGGCUCUUCGGGUACAAAUUUAAGCUAAUUGCUUACAUUAAUGAAUUUAUAGUUACAUCAAUUGCAUAAAAUAUUCUAGUUAAAUUUGUAAAAAUAAAUAACACAUUCAUUAAAUUUUAAGUUAGAAAGUCACUUAUUAGCUCGAUCAAAUCAAACAAAUUAAAAAGUUAGAUAGAAAAAUUAAAAUUUUUAAAAGUUAGACGGUCAAAUCUAAAUAGAUUAUAGUUAAAGUAAAUUAUAUAUAUACAUUUUAACCAAAAACUAACUGGGGUGCUUCUAAUAGCACCAAGCACUUGGCGCUACCAUCUCUUUGACAAUUUUUAUCCGUUACAUCAUACUAUUUAACCAACCAUCCACUCAAGCUAGAGUAUUAUUAUCAUUCUAAUCACACAUCCUUUUAUUCGAGGGUUGAAAAUCUAAUAGAAUCAAGCACUUAGUACUAUUAAUAGUAUAGUAAACUAAUUAUAUAUAUAUAUAUAUAUAUAUAUAUAUAUAUAUAUAUAUAUAUAUAUAUAUAUAUAUAUAUAUAUAUAUAUAGUUGAGCUAGAAUACUAUUAGAAGUACCAAUUCCUUGGUAGUGCUUCAAAGUUUCUAGCCAUUGGAUUUACUCCUUGAUUACUAAUAGCUUUUGGAUCAAAUACUAUUCCACUUACCACCACCUAUCACUAUCAUCUCAAGCUCACAUCUCUCCAUUGGAUGGCUAAAAACUUAAAAACGCCAUCUUCAUGCAUAUGGUGCUUUUGAGAGUAUUCUAGCUCAAUUAUAUAUAUAUAUAUAGAGAGAGAGAGAGAGAGAAUAAGGCUGGAAUACUAUUAAUAGUAAAACGCUCUUUUUGCUAUCAAGUUUUUAACCCUUGGAUGAAAAAUUAUAGGGUCAGAAUGAUAUUAGUCAGUUAGGGUUGAGUGGUCUCCCUAGGGUUGAGUGGUCCCCAUUGGGUUAUAGUAUUUAAUCCAAUAGUUAGAAAUAAUAAAAAGAGUUGAUCCAAAGGCUAAAAAACGGGUAGCAACAAUAGGAUUUUACUACUAAUAGUAGACCAGUCCAACUCAUAUAUAGUUUGACUGGGCUACUAUCGGUAGUAAACUGUUCGGUUUACUACCGAUUUGUUUUUUAUGAUAGAACUUUCAAAUCGACGAUCGGCACUGUUGAAUAUGAUCUAGACCAUUUAAAUUAUCUAGAAAUCAAAUUUCAUGAUUUUUUGGCAUCACUAACUGAACGAUCAAAGGGUCACAAAAUCUAUAAUUUUAAUGGCUGAUAUGGUGCGUUUGCUCGUUUAACGGUAUAGAAGAGUUCAAAUCAACUAAAUUUUUGUUAAAAAAUUCUUUAAACUAUUUAAAAUAAGAUCUAGACUCUAGAUCUCAAAUAUAAAAAUUGUUUCAUCACUUUUUGAAAGAUAUUCAUUUCCAACCAUUCAUUUUUCUGUUCACUUAAUGGACAAUAGAACAAUAUCGAAAAUAUGUAAAAUUUGAUUUCCAGAUAGUUUAAAUAGUUUAGAUCAUGUUUAACAGUGCCGAUCAUCAAUUUAGAAGCUCUAUCAUCGAAAACAAAUCGGUAGUAAAGCGAGCCGUUUACUACCAAUAGUAUUCUAGCAAAACUCUCAAUAUAUAUAUAUACUUUUAGAAGCACCAACCCUUGGUGCUUCUAAGUUUCUAGUCAUUGGAUCUACUCCUUAAUUACUAACACCCCUUGGAUCAAACGCUAUUCUACCUACCACCACCUACCAUCAUCAUUUCAACCCUACAUCUCUCCAUCCAAUGGUUAAAAACUCAAAAACACAUUUGAGAGUAUUCUAGCUCAACUAUAUAUAUAUAUAUAUAGAGCUAGGCUGGUAUACUAUUGGUAGCACGGAGGCCUCUGUGCUACCAAGUUGUUUUCAAUGAUGCGGCUUCCAAAUCGACGAUCGGCUCCGUUAAACUUGAUCUACACUAUUAAAAGUAUUUNAUAUAUAUAUAUAUAUAUGUAAAAAUAAUUAUGAAAACUAAACUUGGUUAAAUUUAAAACCGAAUCAAACUGAAAACUAAUUAAACUGAUCCAAAACCCAUAAUUCGCAUUGGUUCAGUUUGGUUUUCGGUUUGUAAUCAAACAAUAAACAUGCCUACAAAAUUAGGGUUUUCAUAUAUACUAUGAUACAUAUUUUCACAUUCCUUUAAUUCCUUUCCUGUCCUCUUUCAUCUUGACUUUAGGGAGUCAUGGGAUGGCCCCUGGACUUUUCUUGGAAGGUGUUGGGAAUUGGGUGUAGGAGUGGUUGAGGAGAUAUGUUGAUGGGAUAGUGAUGAGAGGAACUGCCUUUUUUUUUCUUUCUUUUUUCUUUUUUUUUUUUUGAGAGGGAGAGAGAGAAGUGUACAUGUUUAGGUACUGAGUCAUGGAGAUUGAAAAGUAACAAAACACUGAGGAAGUAAAAGUUGAAGAAGAUCUUAGAAAAGCCAUCUUUCAGAGAACCAAUCUUGGUUUCUCUUUAAAUAACAAUUAAUAUAUAUAUAUAUAUAAAUAUAUAUAUCCUGAUCUCCAUCAAUUCUAUCAGAUGUCAAUUUAUGUAUACAUAUAUAUAUAUAUGGUAGUAAGUAGUGUUGCGACUCCUAUGCCAUCUCUUCUGAGUUUAAGUUCUCUCUACACGAGUGGGGUUUGUGGAGAAGCUUAUCAUGUAUUGGCCCUAAUAUGAGAUUUGAGGUGAGAGAAAAAGGAAGAAUGAUAAGUAUUGGGGGAUCUUUUUAUGGCCAAGUCUCUAGACAUGCUCUCUCUAUCUGUGGCCUCUUUUGGACCUAAUACUUUGUUUGGUUUGGUAUUAUAAUUAAUAUCACUCUUUGGUCCCCACGUGUUAUUGAGUGUGUUCCCUUUCCCUGCCUUGAACUCCACUCAAGAAGAAUACACCCCCUCUACUCUCUCUCUCUCUCUCUCUCUCUCUAGUUUUUGUUUAUUGUUUUCGAAUACUUGAAACUUUAUUUAUGCAAGGUUAUCUAUUGGGUGAGGGAAUAGUAUUAGAUUGGCAGACCAUAGUAAUGGGUCGGUGCUCAGAUAUAUAAGUAAGCUGUAGAGAGAGAGAGAGAGAGAGAGAGAGAGAGAGAGAGAGAGAGAGAGAGAGAGAGAGAGCCAACAAGGAGGAGGUUCAGUAUGAAAAGGGUGGACUUUUGGAGCAUGUCAUAUCAAUGCAUUUAAUGCUAGAGAGGUAAAAUGUGAGCAGCUUUCAUUUGUUUGUUCCUUGGUUGAGGCAUUUUUUAUUUAUUUUUUUCUCCCUCAGCUCCUUUUAUUUCACUCACUUCCUUGCUGUUACUUCUGUUCCUUCUACAACCCCUCUCUCUCUCUCUCUCUCUAUCUCUCUCUCUCUCUUACUUUUGCUUGAUUCAUUGCCCUGCUUUGUUGAUGCAUUUCAGAAGAUAGAGAGAGAAGCUACUGCAGAUUCCUUUGCUGUUUUGGGGAUGAGAGCUCUUCAUUUCCCACAAGUUAUAGUAAGACUUCUCCCAGUCCCUUUUAGGUUUGUUGGCAUUUGAAGCAUAUAUAUAUAUAUAUAUAUAGAGAGAGAGAGAGAGAGAGAGAGAGAGAGAGAGAGAGACCCACAUCAUCUUUCUUGUGAAGAUAUAUAUAUUACUCAAUACACAGAUCUUUUUCUUCACCAUCUGCUAUUCAGUGCCUGCUUGAAGAGGCUAGAGAGAGAGAGAGAGAGAGAGAUAGAGUUAGAGAGAGAAGCAGCAAGGGAUCUUUAUUAAUUAAUUGGUCCAUAUAUAUAUAUAUAUAUAUAUAUAUAUAUAUAUAUAUAUAUAUAUAUGAUGAUGAUGAUGAUCAUGAGGUGGUGAUGAUGAUGAAGAGAGGCAGGUUGUGAGGGAGGAGGGGCAAUUUCCUUAUCUGGGGGUAUGUGUGUAUGUGUGUGUGUGUGUGUGUGUGUGUCUGAAGGGUUCUGAAACAUUCCAUCCAUUUGGCAAAGUAGAGAGAUGGGGUUAAUUUUACUUCCCCGGGCCUGCAAUAUUCCAUUUGUUUGCUAAUGGGUUGUACCCAGAUGCCUUUUGGGCUCCCCUUUGAUGUGAGUGUUCAAUGGUAGAGAGAGAAAGUGGUGCAUGAUGGUGGCUGGUUUCAUCCAUAGAGAGAGAGAGAGAGAGAGAGAGAGAGAGAGGAGGAGAGGGUUUACUUGUUGUAACAGUCUCUUUUUUAACUGACAACAAGGGAGAGGGUUGCAAGGAAGUUAUCUUGGAGGCCAUCAAUGAAGAUCCCACAAGGGGACAAAACAAAAGAUGGUUGGAGCUGGAGUUAGAGUUGGGUGUGUGUAGUCUCUAUUCACCCAUUAAAAGCUUUGCGUGUACAAGAUCCCUUAUAUAUAUAUAUAUAGAAAGAGAGAGAGAGAGAGAGAGAGAGAGAGAGAAAAGAUAAUUAUUAGCAAGAGGGAAGUGAGAGAAAACUUUGAAGAUGAAUAUAAAUAAAAAAAAGAAGGCAAAAAAAAAAAAUAAUGGUUGUUCACAAAUUAACUGUUGCACCAGGAGAGAUCUAUUGAUGCCCUUGUUAGAUAUAUAUAUAUAUAUAAUCUUGCCUGAAUUUUUAACUAACUAUAUACCACUCCUCUCCUCUUCCUUUUGUAAUAAUGAGUCUUAUAAAUUUAUCUUACUUGUGUAUUUUGUAAUGUUUAUAUUGUUGCAUGGUUCUCCCACUUGUUACACCACCACCCAACUUUCUUUCUCUAUUUUUUCACCCUUACAUUAUUAGGUUAUAUAUAAUAAUAAAUAUUGUUAACCCACCAUUCCCUACCACCCAUGUAUAUAACUCCUCUUUUUCCCCACCCAAUCCUUAGAAUGUUUUAGAUUCCUCUCUCUCUCUCUCUCUCUCUCUCUCUCUCUUUCAUUUACCCUCUUCAUUAUUCCUAAGCUGACACAAAAUCAGUCCCUUUCAAACGAAACGAAAAAAAAAGAAACAAAGGAAAAAAAAAGGAGGGAUUUUUUUUUUAAAAGAAAAACCAAGUGCACCAAAGUCCAUGUGGAAAAAGACAAGAAAAGCAUAAUCCCUCCCCCACCCUCCUCCCCCUCCCCCCACCCCUCCUCCCACAUUUCCUUCAUAGAGAGAGAGAGAGAGAGAGAGAGAGAGAGAGAGAGAGAGACUUAUUUCAACAGUGAAUCUACAUAGAUAGUAAGUUGCCACUCCCUACUACUACUAUUAGUUGUCUACAUAUAUAUCUCUCUCACAUACAAACACUCUCUCUCUCUCUCUCUCUCUCUCUCUCUUCUUUUUUUCUCACUCUCUCUCUCUCUUCUGAUAUUUUUGGUUUAUCAUGUCCUGUCAAGGAAGCUGCUGCAGUGCCAGAUGUUCUAUUAAAGCAAAGGGAUGCUCCUCCCUCCUCUCCUCCCUCCUCACUCUCAUCCCCUCCCCCUCCCCCUCCCCCUCAUGUUAUUACUCUCAUCAUCAUCAUCAUCACCAUCAUUAUUAUCAUCAUCAUCAUCUCCCCUCCUCCUCCUCCUCCUCCUCCUCCUCCUCUUACACAACUGCUACUACCACCCCCACCACCACCACCUCUCCUUCACCUCUCUCUUGAGAUACCCAUAUACACAUACAUAUAUAUUUAUAUGUUUAUACUACUGAGCUCAAACUAGAGCACUACUAUGCUGAGCUCACUCAACAACCCAUCAUCCUCCUCCAUCAAAUCCCACGACGACCAUGAUUCCGAAGAAGACCCCCACCCCCACCCCCAACACCAACACCAUCACCACCAAUUCCCGCCAAACCCUAAUUUCCAUGUCAGCACCGCCGCCACGCCAUCGCCAUCGCUAUCGCCAUCGCCGCGUGAGCUUCUCGUCGGCUGCGCCGACCUGUUCGGCCGCGGCGACUUCCCCGCCGCCCGCCGCCUCGCCGCCUCCCUCCUCUCCUCCUCCUCCCCCCUCGGCGACUCCUCCGACCGCCUCGCCCACCGCUUCGCCCGCGCCCUCCUCCUCCUCCUCCCCCCUCAACAUCACCAACAACAUCAACAACAUCAACAACAUCAACAAGAAUUAUCAUUACUAGUAGACGACGAUCCUCCCCAGCAGCCGCAUCAUCCCCACCCCUACCUCUCCUUCAACCAGAUCACCCCCUUUCUCCGCUUCUCCCACCUGACGGCAAACCAAGCCAUACUCGACGCCGCCUCAUGGCCAGCAGCCCAUCGAACCAAUCGGAUCGACGCGACACCUCCACGCCUGCAGUGGCCGCGCUCCUCCAGCCCGCCGACCUCCCCGACCCCCCGGCUUCCGCCGCAUCACCGCGCGCAGGCCACCGACCCGCGUCCUGUCCCCGCCUCGACCAAGCCGGGGCCCACUUCGCCCCGCUCUUUCGCCGCGUUCCCUCAACCUCCCCUCCACUCCACCCCUCCUCCUCCCCUCCCUCCCCCUCCCACCUCGCCCCAUCUCCGCCGCUCUCAAUUCCCUCCCCCCUCCCCCCUUCCCCUCCGAAACCCUCGCCCUCAACUUCCCCUUCUUCCUCCACAAACUUCUCUGCAACGAUGACCAGCUCGUCGUCGACUUCCUGCGCUCGAUAAAGGCGAUGAAUCCGGCGGUGGUGACGGUCGCCGAGAGAGAGGGCUGCGGCGGCGGAGGAAACUUCGUGCAGCGGUUCGUCGAAGCGGUGGACUACUACGCGGCGAUGUUCGAGUCGAUGGAGGCGACGGUGCCGCCGGGGAGCCGGGCUGCUCCUCGGGCGCGAGAUCGAGGCCGCCGUCGCCUCCGCCGCGGCGGCCGCGAAUUCGAAUUCAAAUUCAAAUGCAAAUUGUUUGCGCCGGCGGUUCGAUCGGUGGGAGGCGGCGAUGACUGCAGCGGGCUUCGCGGGGCGGCCGCUGAGCGGGUUCGCGCUGUCGCAGGCGCGGCUGCUGCUGCGGCUGCAUUACCCUUCGGAGGGCUACAGGCUGGAGAUGAUGAGGGGUGCCUUCUUCUUGGGGUGGCAGAGUAAGCCCCUCUUCUCUGUCUCCUCUUGGCACUGAAGCUACGCACUACUCAACAUUUUGCAAACAACCCCUUCAAAUAUAUAUUCGAGCAUAUAUAUAUAUAUAUAUAUUUCUAACAAUUUUAAUCAGUUAGUACAAUGAAGGAGUAGUAGUAGUACUGCUGCUGCUGCUGCUAAUGGAUCAUAAUUUAAUUUCUUUAUUAUUGUUAUUGGCUAGCUAGCUAUUUAGAUCGAUAGGGGUUUUAUAUGUAUAAUAUCUUUUAUUGUUUCUUUUUAUCUGGUGCGUUAUGAUUAAUAUAUCUUCUUGUGGGUUCAUUAUUUCUUGUUUCUACCAUGAGUGGGUUUUAGCUAGGGUUUAGAGGUGGGGAAAAAAAAAAGGAAGAAAAACCUACGGGGUAGCUAGGGCAUCUGAAGUUAUGUGUGAGGUGAUAAUAUGUGUGGGAUUUGCUAGCUAGAAACCCUAACCCUAGCUUGUUGUAUUAGCCUAUUGGAAAGAGAGAGAGAUAGAGAAAGAGAGAGGGGGGGGUGAGGAGACAUGUGCAUGCAUGGCUUGGCGAGUGUUGGAGGAGCUAGCCAUGGUGGUAGCGGUGGUGGUGGUGCACGUUGCAUGGGGGAUUUUUCUCUUUUGGAAAAUAGAGAAGAGAUAAAAAAAAAAAAGAAAAAAAAGUAGGGGGUCUUAUUUAAUUAAAAUUAAUUAAUUUCUCACCAUUUAUUCUUCUGUUCUUGCAUAUAUCCCAAGGCAUAAGCUUCUCUCUCUCUCUCUCUCUGUCUCUCUCUCUCUGUGUAAUUUUUUUUGCAUAAGUUUCUCUCUCUCUCUCUCUUUCCCUCUCUCUAGCUAUAUCUGUGUAAUUUUUUUGGUUUAUCUCUUUGUUCUUUUUAUUAUAAUAAUGUCUAUAAACAUCGAUAGGUGGGGGAGUUGUUGCACCAUUGAUUUGUUUUCCUCUUCAAAAAUCCUUUAAAUUUCCACCUCUAGUUAGUUUAUUAAUUAAUCUAUCAUGUACUGCUUCAUGCAAUUAAUCUUGCAUUAUUGCCUGUAUAUUUUUGCUUAAAUGUGGGAUAAAAGAUUUAUUAUUUAUAUUUCAUGAAGGAUCUCAAGCAAUAUCUUCUAUUUCUUAGUCCUCAUGGGUUGGGUGGCUUUUGCUUAUUAUUGUUCAUAUAUAUAUAUAUAUAUAUAUAUAUAUAUAUAUUUAUAAUUUAUAUAUUAUAUUUAUAUUAUGGAUUAAUAGUUUAUGCUAAUGGAUGACUCUCACCCAAAUUAAUUAAUUUAUUCAAGGGCGCUCAUGCUUGCAUGGUUGUUUAGUUGCAUUCACUUGCUUGUUAGUGGUUUGAUGCUGUGAUUUAUUAAUAUAUAUUGUUAUUAUUCCUAAUUAUCGUUGUAGGUCACCACUAACCAUAAUUAUAUGCUUGACAAUAUUAUCUACAAGGGCUAGUUACAUUUGUAUACAUGAGAGUCAUCACAUCACAUUAGAGGUCCUUGUAACACUCAAAAGCGGCCACUUUGUGCUUGAAAUAUGCUCUUGUUCUUGUGCCCCCAAGAAGGGGGGUUUUGUUUCUUGUUUUCUGUGCUCAUGCCCCACAGAUAUUGCCUGUAGUUGUCUUUGGAGUGAACCCAUGCAUAUCAUCCCCAUUUCCACCUCCUAAAUCCUGCCCUUGUCCCCUCAAACAAAAUCAUGGAUUCUCAAAACCUAAACUUUUUUGGUAAGCCAACUUGGCCCCCCCACCCCCCCCCUUCUCAACAAAUCAUUCCUUUUGGAAGCCCCCUUCCUUGGGAUCUUGCAUGCCUGCUUGCUUCCCCAAGCACCCAUGAUUCCCUACCUUCUUGUCCAAACCUCUCUCAUCUCUCUCUCUCUCUCUCUCUCUCUCUCUCUCUCUCUCUCUCUCUCUCUCUCUCUCUCUCAUGAAUAUUUUAACUAGCUAAGAUAAUAUAUUUCUUAAGUGGUCUCUACUCUUCCUUUUUAUGUUUGUUUGUUUUGGCAGAAGAUCAGUAGGCAUUUUCUAUGCUCUAGUUACACAUGCAAGAACACACUUUUUAAGAUUGAUGCUUUCCCUAAAUUAUUAAUUGUUGCAAGGUUCCUCUUGCACUUUUUUUUUUUAUUUUUGAUGGUAGAAUUAAUGGUGUUUUAGGCCCCUCUUGGUACUUUGUGGCAAGAGGGGAUCCACCUCAUUCAGCUCUUUUAUUUUUGGUUUUUUGAAGUAUGGGCUCUUUGUUUUUGCAUGUUGAAUCUUCUAUUCUAGUGCUUCAGUUCCCUUUACAAGAGAAGAAGCAUGCACGUCUUCUAUUCUCUCAUGCUAUUUGCACAAACCUAUGAUUGUGCCUCUUUAGUAUGCAUUUAUGCCUCUUUGAGUUUCCUUCUAGGGUCAUGAUAAUAGUUGAAAAGCAUGAAAGUUAUUAUUGACAUAGUCGCUGUAGUGAAUCAUUCACUGUUCACAUAAUAGACUCGACCAUCUUGUCAUGUUUGAUGAAGUUAAUAGCAGUUUUGCUCCAUUAAUAUUUUAAGAUUGUUUAGGUCUAUAUGUUUGUAUAAUGGUGGACCAUAAAGUGUAGUUAUUGGAUAAAUAAUAAUAGAUAUUGGUUAUAUAUGUGUCAAUAGAAGCACUUUGUUUUCAGGUGGAGAUUCAUUUUAUCAUUAGAAUAAGAGGAAUAAGAAGGUAAAGUUAAUUGCACCUUUCUUCUUAAUUAUUACUUAAUAGAGAUAUGAAGCAUAUAUAUAUUUCCAGCAUAUCUUAGGUGAUAUAUUUCCUGAAUGUUCUAUCUUAUUUAAUAUAACAUGUACACACAUAUAUACAUCCAUGCAUAUAACAAGUUGAGAUUUGUGAAAGAAGCAAGGGUUUUUUCGCUUUUGUUUUGUUUUUUUGUUUUUUGUUUUUAAAGUGUAUUGCUCAAUUACAUAAACGUUGCUAAAUUUUCCUAUUACUAGCAUUAAGAAAAACUCAACUUUUUAAUGAUUGAACAAUAAGAGAGAUAGUUAGACCCCUUCUUAAUUUGUUUUUCCUUUUUUCUUAUUCAUGUGCCUCAAGUUUAAGCCUUCAGAUAGAAUCUAAGAUAUUGGUGUUAAUAUGUAUUUUUGGGCUCGUUUCCUACUGGAUCGAUUUUUUAAAUAAUAUGAUAAUUAGACAAAUUCUAAACCUUUUCGUUCUGUGAGGUCAUAGUUUCAAUCCCCACCUUGAAUUAAAUCUUCAUUUUCUACCUCACCUUCAUCAUGCAUGUGAUUAGGAUUGUCAAUGGAUUAACUCUCCAUUUUCUACCUCAUCUAUUAAUUAUACGUCCUUUUCAUAUUCAUCAUACAUGUGAGUAGGAUUAUUAAUAUAUAUAUAUAUAUAUAUAUAUAUAUAUAUAUAUAAAUUAGCUAGACAUACUAUUUAAUAGUAAAAUCGCUCUUUUUGUAUCAAAUUUUAACCCUUGGAUGAAAAUUGUAGUCGAGAUGAUAUUAGUUCAAUUAGGUUUGCGUGGUUCCCUAGGUUGAUGUUGGUCCCCUGGGUUAUAGUAUUUAAUCAAUAGUUAGAAAUAAUGAAAAGGAGUAAGUUCAAAGUAAAAAACUGGUAGGCAACAUGGAAUUUUUGUACUAAUAGGUAGCCAGUCAAGCUCUCUCUGCUCUCUAUAUAUAUUAACUUUUUAGGGGGCUACACAUAGCCCUAACCGACAUUCUAAUUCAAUGGCAAAACAUUGGUAGCACAAUGACUUGGUGCUAUUAAAUCCUAUAUUUAGCUAGAUCUCUCUCUCUUCUCUCUCUCUCUCUCUAUAUAUAUAUACUAUAGAACUAGGACUGGAAACUAUCAAAUAGCACAAGCUAUUGGUGCCUAAUUAGGUUUUCGGCCGUUGAUGAAAAAAAUAUCCACGGUUAGGCAUGAUUGGGCCUCCUAGGGUGAAUGAGUAUAUUUGUUUAUAGUAUAAUUAACGGAUAAAAAUAGUCAAGAUGUUAAUCUAAUGGCGAAAAAUUUUGAUUAGCACCAAACGCUUGUGCUAUUGAUAUUUCGCAGGCGGACUCUUCUUACUCUCCUCUCUCUCUCUGUGCUCUCUCUCUCCUUCUCUCUUCUCGUCUAUAUAUUUAUAUAUAUAUAUAUAUAUAUAUAUAUAGAAAUUGAGCUCCUAUAUCUUUCAAAGUACAUAGUUAUCUGGUGCUUGUAGAUUUUUAGCCAUUGGAUUUAAGAGAUAUGCGGUUAGGAUGAUUGCCCCCCUAGGGUUGGUUGGGUGUUGGUGAAAUAGUAUAAAUCUAAUGGUUGAAAAUGAUCGCGAGGAGUUAGAAUCUAACGGUUAAAAAAUUACAAACACCAAGGUGCUAUGUACUUUUACAUCACACAUAGUGGCUACUAUACUAUUAUAUAUGUAUUAAUAUAUAAUAUAUAUAUUUAGGUUUGUUUUUACUUAUUGUUGUUUUUGUUUUUUUUUUUUUUGGUAACAAUUGUCAUUGUAAACCACAAUUAACGAAAAAAUGAUAUAUUAUACUAAUAGUAUAUAUAUAUAUAUAUAUAUAUAUAUAAUAUAUUUAUAUAUUAUAUAUAAUGAACUCGGCCGCAAUGCAAUGUUAGAACACAACAUACAAUGACAUGAAUUUAUAUCUAUCUCCCUGGCAGAGGGAGAUGAUUAUGUGCAAACCCAACUCCAAGAAAUACUGGAACUGUGUGACUCGGACCAAUCGAAUCAAGAGAGUAUCUCUUGGGUUCUUCAUCUCCAUCUCCUUUUGAUGUUAUGACACAGAAAAAGGGCAUGAUUUGGCACAAGAAACCUACCUUUGCUUACCCCUUUCAGAGAAACUGCAAUUGAUGGCAUUAAAGUUUUCCUACGUUUUCCCUCUCUUACAAGAAAAUUAUUGGAUAUUAAUUCCUCCCUCUCCAAUAGAAAAUUAAUACACAAAAAUAAUAUUCUUACAGUUAUUAAUAUGCUGUCAUACUAAUAUGUCGCAAAUAGAUUGAAUUUAGUUGCAUUAAUUGUACAGGUUGUUGCUGCAUGGAUGAGAAAUAUUGGCAUCUUAAUAUGUUAAAGUAACUGCAACAAAUUAAACAUUUUCCUUGCUUUUCUAUACAAGCUGUUGAUGCAGAGAUGAAAAAUCUCUACUGUUGUAUCAGGUUAUGAGUGUAGGUGAAGUAAUGAGGUAACUUGGUAGGUUGGCCAAAGUGUGCUAUGUGGUACCAGAUGCAUUUAUUGCAAUGAUAGGAGGGAAUGGGAUGCAUCAUAGAUCAGGAUCUGUCAAAGAGAUCCUACAUUGAUUUUCUUAAUGAUUGAAUGCUAGAAAAGUAUUGAAUUUUAUGUGCUCAUCUUCUCAGCUCGUGAACUGGGCAUGCAUCUGAUUUUCGAUCUCUUCCUUAAAAAAAAAAACAAAGAAGAAGCAUAUGCUGUGUACCAGAGAGAUGAAUUAACUCUGUGAGAAUUAAAGAAGAGAUAGAGAGGACUAUUUUGGACAUUAAUAUUGUACAAGGUAGACAAUAUUAAUUCCUAGCCCGUAGACUCUCACCACAUGCAUCAACUUUGUCUCUUAUAUGGUAAAUUGAUUUGAUAAGUAAAUAGGGCUAAAGAAAGGGUCAAAUAGCUAGCACAGUAACAGUGCUGUACUGGGAGUAGAGGUUUUACCUGCUACAACUGUUACAUCCACUAGCUUGCUAGUAAACACAGGAGCAGGAUGAAUAUAAUCUGAGCUAUAUUUGAACCUGCAACUGUGCUGGCUUAUGUAUGUACAAUAUAUAUAGUUACGGAUUAGACUAGAAUAUUGUUAAUAACACCGAGUCAUUAACGCUAUUAGAUUUUUAGUUCUUGGAUAAAGAAAUAUGUAGUUAGAAUGAUAGUGGUUCCCUAGAAUAAUUGAAUAGUAUGGUCUUAGGAAUGAAAAUAAUCAAAGAGAUAGAUCUAAAAGUGAAAAACUUGUUAGUAUUAAAUGUUUGAUGCUAUUGAUAACGACAUUGUAGCAGGAUUGAUUAUGUUACUUAUGUGUAUGUAUAUUAAUGUCCUUGGGAAACCCUAACCCUAAUCUCUGGUAUCAUUUUGUUGCCCUUUGGAAACCCUAACCAGACUCUCUGGUAUAUUCGCUCCUGCACCUAUGGUAGAGUUUCCCAUAUAUUCAUGUAAGUAGUAGUCCUUUUUACUUUAUCACUGAAUAAAUAAUUAAGAUAAAGAAGCAACAAGAAGAAUCACUUGCACGUUUGCAUCUCAGAGUGUCUGACCCUAGAAGAUCCUCCACUGAUUCUCUAGCACAUUUCUUUAAUAUUUAUCCAUCUAUUCACCUCAGGAGAAGCUACUUGAUGAUUGUGACCCUCCUCUCUCUCUCUCUCUCUCUCUCUCUCUCUCUCUCUCUCUCUCUCUCUCUCUCUCUAAGUUUUUUUUUUUUUUUUUGAGGGGGGGGGGGGGAGGUGUGGUGUGUUACAGUGCACAACAUGUGAGUAGGAGAAUCCGAGUUUGAAACUAGGGGUCCAUUGAAUUGGUCGGGAAGGACAAACAGCUUCACAACCCAUGCAUCCCAUCUUAGGGUACCAUACAUUCCAAUGAAACCAUGUGGGCUUGUAUCACAAUUCAUGUAAAGAGAUAGCUACCCUAAUUAGCUAUGCAUGCAUAUAUAGGCUAGCUCCUGCCAUGAAAAUCUGCCCAAGCUGGAGUUGCUGCAAACAAUGUCACCAUCCACUGCUGUGGACAGCAGUAGAUGCAAGAAGAACCAAACCACUCCUAGCUAGUGGUUUUAAUUCAAUAUAUAGACAACAUAAAUAGUUUUUGAAGAUAUAUAUGAGUUGUUGGGAAAUUGUAUAUGUAAUAAGAGAGAACUAGUAACAUGUUGAAGGUUAUGAACUUCUCUAAUUAAGUUUCGCAUUUACGUAACUUGUUCUUGGAUUGGCUCAAGUGAGUUGCUACAUGCACCAUUAGAGAUAACUCUACCAUGGUGAGCAAUAAGUUAACAAUGAAAUGGAGCUCCAUGAUGUGAGUAUGUAGAGUAAGACCCCUUAAUUAAUUCCUCUAAUUCAAUAAAUGGCCUCUUAUUACUUCUCCGUGCACAUAAUUAAGAAUUAAUCUUCUUCCAAAGACACCAUACAGGUGCCGUAUAUAUGUGUGUGGAAUGAGCUGUUGAUAAAAAAAAAAAUUAUGUACUCUUGAGUAUGUAUUAAUCAAUAAUAAGAUGUAGUUUAAUUCUUAAUGGAAAUUAAUAAGUUGGGACAGUGUGGUGGUGAUCAUAUGGGACAUAUAUAUAUGGUUUGGGAGUACAAGAGAAGCAGCUUUGAUUCUUUGUAAAGGAGGGCAAAAAUCCAUAAAUAAAGAAUAGUGUUGCUCUGCAAAGUGAGCUGUGCAUGGUUAGGGCUACAUGUAGGAAUGGCCCAUAAAAUAUAUGGGACUCAGAUUAGGGUUUCUGACCACUUGAGCAAUAAUGAGCAGCAUAUAUGUACAUGUUGAAAGAUGAGGUUGCUAUACACGACUAGAGAAUAUGGAGGCUUUUAUAUUGAAAAGAGACUGGUGUUGAAUUGCUGGGGAAAGAGGAGCUUCAGAGAUUAGGGUUUUCAGUGAAAGGAGUGGGGUAAAGGUGAGAGGAAAGGUAUGGUGCUUCUAGGUACAGUGCCACUUCUGAGAAGUAAGGUAAAAAAAAAAAAAAAACAAAGCACAGCACAUGCAUUUGAGACUUAUGAUCCAUAGUAGUACACUCAUUCCAUCAGGAAACAAUCCUGCUCAAAUGAUUUAAGAGAGAGAGAGAGAGAGAGAGAGAGAGAGAGAGAGAGAGAUCACAAUGUUUCUAAUACAGACAUGUUCAGUAAAAGUGACAUGUAUGUAGAAUAUUCUUCUUUCAUGUUACUACUUAGUGAACAUAGCUAUAUAUUCUCCAGUAUAGCAAGUGAUAGUGGGUAUUUUAUACAAACCUACACUUACUAUUUAGGACUACACAUUGUAAAAGUUAUGCAAAAGGCUUUUUAGGGCAUAUAGGAAAGGUUAGUGUGUGAAGAGGAAGUACUGCAGUUGAACACUGGAAUUCACAAAGCUAGGCCAGCUGGAAAUGAGUGAAGUAGAAUUAUUUUAAUGUGAUUUCUUUGUUGGCUUUAUAUAUGUGGCAGUUUAUUGUGACUUUAUUUCUUGUAGGCAACUAAUGGAACAGAAGAGAAAAGAGAAAAGAGAAAAGAGAUUAAUGCCCCAGUCUAAUUUGUAACAUGACAAGUUAGAACUAAAAUUAUAGGGUGCAAGCAUCAUUUAAUUCUCUUUCUCUGUAAUAACUUAGAAAAGUACUAGCUUCUAAAAGAGAGAGAGAGAGAGAGAGAGAGAGAGAGAGAGAGAGAGAUUUGAAUCUAAAUAUUUGUGAUACUGAGUUUGAAUCCUACUAAUUAAGAACCAGUACAUGUCUAAUUUAAUUUCCUCUCGUAUAUUCAGCUUCACGUUUUGAACCUAUCAAAAAGUCUCAAGUCUAAACACAAAAAAAAUAUUGAAUAUAAAUAUUAAAAAUAUCAUUAUGAGAAUAACGUACGAACUUUACUAGAGAGGUGUCACAUCUUUAGAUGCUAUUUGAACUUCAUAGUUUUGAUUUUACUAUCUCACUUUAUAAUAUAUAGGAAAAACUUCAAAUAUCCCCCUUGUGGUUUCACUUUUUCUCACUUUAGUACCAUGUGGUUUAAAGUGUAUCUAGUUAGUAUUAUGUGGUUUUACACUUUUUCACUUUAGUACCCUGUGGUUUAAAGUAUAUCAAGUUAGUACCCUAUGGUUUCGCACUUUCUCAUUUUAUAUAGUACCCUGUGGUUUCAUACUUUCUCACUUUAGUACCCUAUCUUGUGGUUUAAAAACCACAGGGUACUAACUUGAUACAAAAAUAAAAUCAUAGGAUACUAAUUUGAUACAAAAAUAAAACCACAGAGUACUAACUUGAUACACUUUAAACCACACGGUACUAAAGUGAGAAAGUGCGAAACCACAGGGUACUAACUUGAUACACUUUAAACCACAUGGUACAAAAAUGAAAAAGUACGAAACCAUAGGGGUGAUUUUUGAAGUUUUCCCUAAUAUAUAUGAACUAAAUAUAUAUUUAUCACAAUUAAUUCAAUUGUAUUUAAAUGUUUUUUGAUGAGAAAAUAGUGCAAUGUAUCAAAAUAUCUUCUUAUGCCAUAGACUAUAAAUAUAUUUUUAAGUUUAAUGCAAAACCAUUAACAUCCGAUCGGACAAAAAUAUUUUUGAGAUUAAAAGAAAUAUAAGAUUAGAUAUAGAGUAAAUUCAACAUUUUUAAAACUGAAAAUGCUCGCUUUAAAUUCCACNGUGCUCCUAAUAGCACACAACACCUACUAUAUAUAUAUAUAUAUAUAUAUAUAUAUACUAGUUAAGGGACCCGCGCGAUGCCGCGGGUAGUUAUUUUAAAAUUUAAUUUAAAAAUUUAGUUAUAAAAAUUAAUUUCAGAAUAAUUAUAAAAUAUUAUGGACAAAUUACGAAAUAAUUUUAAAUAAAUACAACUAUCUUUCCUAAUAUAAAAAUAUAAGGAGCUCUAUCAACCAUAAGAUACUUUGAAAUAGUUCUUCCACUUUAUUAAAUAUUUUCUUAUUUUGUUCUCUUUUGUUUGAUUUGAUAUUACUAAUUUUGUAAGAUUUUCUAUGCUAAUUAUUUCAAACAUGACCGCAUGUCUAAGGGGUUGAGAAAUAAUAUAUGGUGCAAUAAGUACAUCAAAUAUUUUUAGUAGGCAUGAUAGUCCCCCAUUAAUUAGUGAAUUAAUUUUUAGUAUAGAUAUUGUAGUCCCCCAGUAGUUAGUGAAUGAGAAGAGAAACCAUUGCUUGUGAUUCUCGCAAUUAAGUUUAGUCAAACAUAAAAUUAACUUAAGCUGCAUCAAUCUUUUUUUUUAUUUUUUAAUGUACAAUCUAUAUAGACAUAUUAUUCAUCAAUAUUAUAAAAUUAACAUUUUAUAAAAUUAUAAAAUUAACAUUAUACAUAUAGAUAUAUUAUUCCUCAAUAUUAUAAAAUUAACAUUUAUAUCUAAUAUCAAUAAUCUAAAUUAUUUAACAUUUAUUUAUAUAUUUUACAUAUUAUAAAAAUAAAUAGUACAAAGUUUGUCUCUGUUUUGAAGAUGAUCGUACAGGAGAUCGCUGAUUUUAGAUUCGUCAGGAACCUCGUUCAUAGCAGCCUGGUUGAUUUGAAUGGAAAAAUGGAAUCAAACAAAUUACGAAAAAAGUAAAAAUAAAGCAGCAUGAUCACAGACCGUGAUAUAUUUACAUUUAUACCGCUGCGAAAUUAGUGUCACUAUGCAAAAUCUGAAUGUUCGUUACCUUCGAAAACUUAAAUUUGUUACAUAUUUAUAACAUUACAUGCAAAAAAAUGCCCCUCUUCUAGAGAACUCUUUUCCAGUACUAAACCAACUUGCCCCCAUAAAUUAGGCGACUCCCCAAUUCAAUGUAAAGGGCUUUUCAUUUUUAAUAAGAAACUGCUCUUUCAAGGAUAUAUAAGAAAAUUCAGAUUUUACAUGAGUGUGUGUAUAUAUAUAGAUGAUUUUGCAGGGUAAAAAUUCUAUUUUGUUCAUAUUUAUUAGAUACCUGCAUCAUUCGCAUGUCAAAUCGACCAACAAAUAGAGUCACGGAUACCAUGAGAUCAAAUACCGUCUUGAAUAAGUCGAUGGAAGUCCUAAAAUAUGAAAAGGAAAGGAAGCUGUGAAUUCCUAUUGUCGCCUUAAAAUGGAAAAAGAAAAUUAAGAAAAAUAAAUGUAGGCUUAGCCAAUAUUAGCAUACCUCAAAUACCAAGGUACCAUGUCCAAGAAAUCAGGUUUCAUUUGUUUCUUCAACUUCUCAUACUCUGAUAUUGUCAUAGGAUGAGUAAGAGCCCAUCUGUGGCAUCGGAAAGGCAAAUAAAGGACAAUUAGAUAACAUAAACUAAUCCAUUUGAGUAAUAAGCCAAAGAUUUUGCAACCUUUACGUAGAAAUUACACUAAGAUGAAGAAAACCUCUUACAAAAUGUCGCUUUUCUUUUUGUUUAACGUCGCAACCCAAAUCAAAAACAAAAACAAAAACAAAACCUAAACCUAUAAACCCAUGAAAGUAUAAUUGUCAUUAAUUUGCCUCUUUCCAUCAAUCUUCAUCAAGCAAUACAUAAUAUAAAAUAAACUCAAAAUGAUGUACGCAUCAUCUUCAACCGUCUCCUCUACAUGAAAUAUUACGUAGUAAAAGAAAGUAGCAUUUAUGUUUAAGAGUUAUAGUGAAUUAACAUACCCAGUUGAUCGUUCGAUGACAUAAUUAGUAAUGUAGAGUCCGAUAAACGUUGCCUACAAUGAAUAUAAAGGCGAUAUUUCAUCUGAAAGAUGAGGACACGAUCCAUUGCAAGCUAACUGUAGCAAACAAAAACCAAAAAUAAUAAACCUAGAAAUUAAGAAAAGAAAAAGAUAUCAUAUGAAAGCUGGAGAAAGUUCAGUAUACCUCCCCAUAGAUGACCCAUUUAGAAAAGAGCAGGUAGUCGCUAGCAGAGCCAACCGGCGCAAACCAGGAAGAACAAAUUUGGUCCUUCCACUCGUGCAUUUUACGGAACUUGGAUAUCCAUAUAUUUCUAUCUUGUUUGUUCCACAAAGGGAAAGAAAACCAAUUUGAGUUUCUUCUAUCAAAGUGCUUCUCUCUUGUGAUAGCUCGAUUACCGCAAUGACUGUAAAAUACACAGCAUGCUAUACUUAUGACCUGCAUAAUCGCAAGCGUUACACACAGCAAUAAUAUUAGGUAUAUAGCGCUAGGUUUAACCUUUUUAGGAGGUUUCAGUUUAGCCCACAACUAUUUGAUAGUCGAUACUUAUUAUCAGGUCGCUAAACAUUGUACUCUAUAUAUGUGAUCUAAUCCUUGUUGUUUGAUCCCAUGGAUAAAUUGGAUUCGAAUGCUCACAGAAUCAACAUAUGAGAAGUCGAAUAGUUAAAUGAUGAUUACAUGGAUAUUUCUACCCAAGUUAACAGAGAAAUGAAAUGAAACAGUAAAUAUUGCGAUGAAAUGGAAUAAUUAGGCACCUAAUUUAUUCAUAUAUAUUGAAAGGUUGUAGAACAAACUGAGAGCAAUUUACCCCUAAAAAGGUCACAAACCAACAUCAAUUUGUUGUGCGUUAAGACAACUUUAAGAACUUACUGCGCAGUUUUGGAUGAUAGUGAGUAUCUCUGGUCUCUUUUAUGCCAUUCGCGAAACCAUGCCCAAGUACCAAAGCCCGAGAAAUAUAAUGUGGAAAACAAUAAGAAAAAGAAGGGAGGUGAUAGAAAUUGUGAUGAAGAGAGAAAGGUUCAUUUUCAAGUCGACUCCCAUCGACUGAAAACUUGGAAGAUGAUAUAAAGCUGCCAUGAAGAUCCAUGCAAUGUACCUGCAGAACAAAUGAGACUAACACAUUUACCUUGUUUUUGUCCAAUAAAAAAAUUGCCCUCUUUAAGAAACUUAUUCAGAUUCAAAACAGCAUUUCCCUAAAUUAGACGACUCCCGAAGUUCGUGUAAGGUGCUUUUCUAAGAAACUGCACUUUUAAGGGGAUAAAUAGGAGCACCGGAAUAUAUAGUUUUACAUAUUAUCGGAAAAAGAAUAAUGUACCAACGGAUGAAGUAAGAAUAACUUGGCUUGAUAGUCUUCCUAAUGAAAGGAGAAGAGAAGAAAUAAAAGAAAUCAAUCAAGCAAAUGUACAUGGACCACCACUUGAUGUUUUUGUCCAUUUUUCCGCGCCCGCCCAGCGCCGCGCUGCGCGCCCGCGCCCAAUUUGGUACAUUUGUGAGCUUGAUCAUGAAGCAGAUGGUUAUCUAAAAAUUGUAGAGAAACAUGCAUCAGGUUUACUACCAGAGAUGAGAAAGGAUGGUAAGCAUUUGCUAAAAUUAAAUAUUUGCUUUCCCUGACUUUGCUACCCUCAUUAUUGAAGUACUACGUGCCUUUUCUUUUCUUUUGUUUUAUGUGCCUUUGAUUUUUCAAUCAUAGAAUGUCUUCUGAAAAUGCAAAAUUAUGUUUGGGGAUAUGAGAAUCUGCACUUUCAUAUGGAUUCCAAAAUAAUCUUGUGCUUGCCACACAUCAUUGUUGCUUCACUUGUAAACAGAAUGAGACGAACAAACUGUUGUUUGUGCAAUUGUUACCUUCACCAUGAAGAGGAAAAAACUUUUUCAGUUGGUGGGAAAAGUGCUUGCUCUCGCCCGCCCCAACUCGCGCAGCACGCUUGCGACUGCCCGCCAGCCACGGCUCGCCCCACGUCGGCGCCCUCCCGCGCCGCGCGCCUCCGGCCCUCGGCUCGCGUCCACGCCAGCGCCGGAGCCGCCCCCGCGCCAGCGCCCGCGCACGCGCACACCCCGCGCCCGCGCCAGCGCCCGUGGCCGCCCACGCCCCGCGCCCUUACCCGCGCCUCGGCCUCCUCGCGCCGUGCUCUCUUCUCUCUCUGAUUAUUAGGGUUUUGAGGAGGGAGAUGAUGAAGAGAAAAGAGAGAUGGAAGAGGCGGAGGAGGGAUCGAAGCGAAGGCGAGGUAGAGAUCGAAGCGGCGGAAGGCGGGGAGCGAUCGAAGCGGCGGGAGUAGGGGAGGGAACGAAGCGGCGGGUAGUGGGGGAGGGAUCGAAGAGGCGAGUAGUGGGAGAGGGAUCGAAGGGCGAAGGAACAAAUGGGAUAUGUCGUGGCUUGAUGACAUGGAUUGAAUUAACCUGAAUUAAGAUAGUUACGACACGUGGCAAAAAAAACACGGGGAUUAAAAAGAUUUAAUAGAUAUAUAUAAACUUAGGCUGAAAUGCUAUCAAUAGCACUAACCUAUUGGUGCUAUUAAGUUUUUAGCCCUUAGAUGAAAAAAUGUAUGAUUAGGAUGAUAUGGACCUCCUAGGGUUGAGUGAGUUAUUGGUUUAAUAGUAUAAUCUAAUAGUUGAAAAUAGUAAAAUGAUUAAAUCUUACGGUGAAAAAUUUGAUAGCACCAAACACUUGGUGCUAUCGAUAAUAUCCCAGCCGGACCUCUCUCUCUCUAUAUAUAGUCUGGCUACUAUACUAUGAGCGUGUUUGGUUUGCUUGUAUUUCAUCCUGGAAUCGGAAUGGGCAAAUCCGUUUGUGAGUGUUUGGUACGCGGGAGUCUCAUUCCGAUUCCGAUUUCCGAGUGGAAUGAGAAUCCCCUAAUCACCUCUUUUUCCAAUUCGGUCUAAGAGGCCGGAUUGGAAAUUGAAUCCGGACGGAAUGGAUAUUUAUUUGGAUUAAAUUUAUUUUUUAAAACUUUUUAAUUAAAAUAUGAGUUUAAAUUUAGAAAUUAAAUAUAUAAUUUAAAAUUUUAAUUUGAACUUGAAUUAAAAAUUAAAUUUUAAUCAAGUAUUUCAAAUCUAACCUAUAAAUUUGAAUUUAAAUUAAAUUUUAAUUUAUAUAAAGUUUUAUUCAAAUUUUAUUUAAAACUUAAAUUAAAUUUAUAGAUUCAAAUUAAAAUUUAAAUUGUAAUUUUAAGUUUGAAUUUGAAUAAAUCGAAAUUUAGUUUUAUAUUUUGAAUUAUCCACUCAACUUCAAAGUUUAAUUUUUUUUUUAAAAAAAUAGAUUUAAAAUUUUGACAUUAUUUCAAAAUUUUGAUGUAAAUGUUUAAUAUUUAAUUUUCAAUUUGAAUUUAAAUUAAUAUAGUAUAAAGAUAAAUUAAAGUUAGUAUUUUAAUUUGAUUACGUUUUUUAUAUCUACCUAAACCAAACACCGACAAUGGGAAUGAUUUAUUCUGAUUCCGAUUCAGGUAAUGAAUCAAAACAAAAUUAGGUAAUGAGUCAUUCCGAUUUCGAUUCCAGCUUAUUUCAAUUCCGAUUCUGAUUUCGAUUCAACUUCGAACCAAACACGCCCUAUUAGUAGUACCAGGCGCUUGGUGCUAUCAAGUUUUUCGCUAUUAGAUCUACCCUUUUGACCAUUUCUACCCGUUAUAUCAUACUAUUCAAGCAACUACCCAUUCAACGCUAGGGGACCACUAUCAUCCUAUCCGGGGACUACUAUAAUCCUAACUACACAUCCCUUUAUCCAAGGGCUGAGAACCUAAUAGCACCAAACGGACAGUACUAUUAAUAGUAUUGUAGCCUAAUUAUAUAUAUAUAUAUAUAUAUAUAUAUAUAUAUAUAUAUAUAUGGAAAGAGAGAGAGAGAGAGAGAGAGAGAGAGUCCAACGACUAUACUCUUAUGAGUACGAUCGCCUUCAUGCUCAUAAGUCGUAUUGGAUAAUAGAGUUUCCGAAUUGGCGUUAUCUAGCGCAUUUGAAAUUUCUAUAAAUCAAAUUUCAUAAAUUUUCAACAUCAUUUACCUUAUAAUCAAAAGAUCUUAAAAUUGGCAAUUUUUAACAGCCGGUACGGAAUACUUACUAGUUUAAUGGUAUGAAAGAAUUGGAAUCGGUUGAAUUUUUGAUAAAAAAUUCUAUUUACUAUCUAAAUAAAGAUCAAUAAUUUUGAUCUGAAAUUGAAGUAUUCAAUCCUCUAUUUUUAGUAAGUCGUUCGAGUCUGAUUGUUUAUUUUAUAUUCGCUUGCUGAACUUUAUUAUAAUUUCAAAAAAAUUAUGAAUUUAUUUUUUAGAAGUUUCAAAUACUCUAGAUUGAUAAUAUAUAUUUAACGAUAUUGAUCAUCAAUUCGGAAGCUCCAUCAUCGAAAAUAACUUAUGAGUACGAAGGGCUCUAUACUCAUAAUAGUAUAGUAGUCAUAGUCUGUUUAUAUGUAGAGUCUGGCUAUUAUACUAUCUACAAAGCAUUUGGUACUAUUGAGUUUUCAUCGUUAGAUCUGUUGGUUUAAAUGAGCCAACAUCCUGCCCUGUGGCGAUAGGCUAUGUUGGGCCGAGUCACGUUCGAAAUGGCGUGAGGCUGGGUAGGCCAAGUCAUGUUUGAAGUGGCGUGAGGCCGGGUGGGCCAAGUCACAAUUAAGACCCGUGGGCGCUGUAUCUGAACAUUUUAAGUGAAUUGGUUGCGUAUUUCUAACAGCUUGAGCUUUUGGGAUUAAUGGUUAGCGCCAACGAUCCGACAAGUGGUAUCAGAGCCAGAGGACACGUGUUCGAUUCCCGCAUGCUGCAAAUGUGUGCAGGUGCUGGAGGGGGGAUUGUUGGCUUAAAUGGGCCAGCAUCUUGCCCUGUGGCAAUAGUCCAUGUUGAGUCGAGUCAUAUUCAAAAUAGUAUGAGGCUGGGUAGGCCGAGUCAUGUUUGUAGUGGCGUGAGACCGGAUGGGCCGAGUCACAAUUGAAACCCGUGGGCGCUGUAUCUGUAUACUUUAAAUGAAUUGGUUGCAUAUUUCUAACAACUCGAGCUUUUUUCAUCGACUGUCCCUAGUGCAAGUGGCAAAGGGUUUAGUGGUUGGUACUUGAGGUCCCAAGUUCGAAUCCUAAUUGAUUCAUAUUUUUAGCUAAAUUUAUUUUUAAAAGAAAUAUAUAAAGCAGGUAGCAUGCUACAUUUCUCUCCCAAAAAAAAAAAAAAAAUUUAAGUUUCGGGCUCUGGACCGGGCACCCAGAAGUGAAUUGGGAUAGCCCGGAACUGUGGGAAAAAUAUCUCAAUUUUUUUAGUAAAAUUAUAUUUUCAUGUGGGAAAAAUAUCUCAAUUUUUUUAGUAAAAUUAUAUCCUUUUUGAAAAUAUUUUGAAUAGCAGUUAGAAAUGCACGCAAGAAUAUUAUAAAGAUGUAAAGAUCAGAUGAGGCCUAUGAGUUGAAGUGUGUUAGGCAGUAUCCUUGAAGCGAGAUUGUCCCUCCAUUUGCGAGACUUCGACAAUCACCUCUAACAAUACAAUGACUACUGUCCACACCGUCAGUACGUCUCUAAAGUGGUGUAACUCGAACCAAAUGGACUUUUAGAGAUCUAACAAAUAUGGACCAAGAUGUGACUCUCGGGUAGUCUGUAGGACGAAUUCCCAGGUAGAUCUAGGUAAGGUUAAGGUAUAAUAUAAAAUUCCAAAAUGAAAAAUAAGUCCAGGUAAGGUAAGGUUAAGGUAAAAUAUAAAAUAUCAAAAAGAAAAAUAAAAUAUAAGUUGAAUCGAAUGCCAUGCACGCUGGCGCAUGUUUUGUGCAAGACACUAUUCUCAUUAUCACCCAAACAACUAAUUAACUAAAAAAUAUUGGAGCAUAUAAGGCGUUACUAUGUCUUGAGUUUUCAAUGUGAGACUAAACUUACAUAUACUAAUAUAAGCACGGGCUCUCAGGCAUAGCCCACUUGCUGUUGGGCUGCCAGAAAGCCCAUGGGCCGAAAGAAAAUUUAAAUUACUUAAAAUUAUAUAAAUACUAACAAGAACAUAAUUAAGUUUCGGGCGCCCACCGACCGUCCCUAUAGCAAGUGUCAAAGGGCUUGGUGGUUGGUACCCGAGGUCCCAAGUUCGAAUCCUAGUUGAUUUACAUUUCAAGCUAAGUUUAUUUCUAAAUGAAAUAAACGAAGCGGGUAGCGUGCUACCCUAUCUCUCUCAAAAGAAAAAGUUUCGGGCGCCCAAAAGAUCUUUUGGAGGGUCGGGAAGUUGAUUAACUUCUGAACUCAUUGGUUUGGGCAUCUGAAAGAGGUUUUGGGCGCCCGAAAGUUGUUCCGGGUGCUCAAAUCACUAGAAUUUGAAUUUGAAUUUGAAUCAGCGGUUGCAUGUUUUGGUUCUCUGUGAUCAGAAUCAGAAUCACGAGUUCGGUGGUUUCGAACACCCAAAAGUUGUUUCGGGCGCCCGAACUUUAAAUACUUUAUAGGGCUAUUUUCACAAUCUACCAUCUUAUCUAUGUUCAUGAACUAACAACUACCACUUCAUGUCAGUUGCCGGUAUAUAUAUGAAAACAAGUGCACAAAUUGUUCCAAGCCAAAGUUGUUUAAUUAAAUUCUCUGAUUUGGUAUCAAAAAGUGAAACACUCUUUUGUAUACAUAUAUGAUCAAAUAGAUAUCUCGGUCUUAGAAAUGAGGAUACCAUCACUAUCUGCAUACAGCCACUCUCCAUCCUGAAUAACCGCGCCGCCGACGUUCACCGAAACAUGCUUCUCGCCGAGGCCCUUCUUGUUGGACUUCAAGGGGUGCGACCCGAGUGCUCGAACGCCGACGUCGCAGCCAUUGAUCUCGUCGACGUCUCGAAUGCAGCCGUUCACGAGGAUCCCGGCCCACCCCAUGUUCUGAGCCAGCUGCCCCAGGUUGCCGCCGACGAGGGCGCACCGCAUGCUCCCGCCGCCGUCGAUCACCAGCACUCUCCCGUCCCCGGGUGACUCGAGUAGCUCGCGCACCAGAACGUUGUCCUCGAACACUCUGAGAGUGACUAUCGGGCCGCAGAAGGCCCGGCACUGGCCGAACAUCUGGAAGACCGGCUGCAGGACGCGCAGCUCGCCUUUCGCGAUCAGGGCAGGGUUCGCGUCGCAGAGUUCGGCGGUCGCCAGAGAAGCCAUCUGGAAGAGAGAGAAUUGUAAGACCGACUAGCUAGACAUAUAUAGCUCGAAAGACUGUUGUUAUUCGGAUGUUGCUAGAACUAAUUUGUUGCUGAUCUGUUUAACAUCUGGCAAAAUCAGUCAAGGUUUUCAUCGGUGAGACAACUAGACAUGACUCGAAAAACUAUACAAACUGUGUUGUUUCGAAUUCUGUCAAGCACGGACCGUUAUUCGAAUGUCUGAAUCAAUUCGUUGCUGUUCUGUUUAAAAUCUGACACGAUAUAUCAGUCAAGGUUUCCAUCGAUGACGAAAGACGACAUUUUAGUACAGUACAUAUUAUUUCAGAAAGGGUAGAGAUUCAAUGGAGUAAUCAAGAUUAACAUUAUAUAAAUACAAAUAACAGAAAGAAGAAUAAAUGAAAAUAAAACAUGCUGUCACUGCAGAUAUGAAAGGCGAUGCGAAGCUGUUCUAAGUUAAAGCCAACAAAAAAGAAAAAAAAAAAACAAGAAUAAAAUUAGUAAUUUUCCAAAAUUUUAUCGACCUGACGUUGACGCACUCGAUAAGUUUCAAGCCAAUGCGAAAAGCAGACAAUAGCGGAAGUCGAUCGCCAGGAAAGCUGUAAAGGGCGACUGGCAGCGGGUAGAUCAAUCAAUCUACUUUCACAAUUCUUGAGAAAUUAAACUUUGACAGAAGAAUCAAGUUGAGUGAGAGUUGUCUGAAAUUAAGUUAGAGAAUUUCAGACUUAAAUCUGCCAAGAUCCAAAUAAUAGUGUAUGACUGCAGUAAGUUAGUGAAAUUAAACUGGUAAAAAUGAUCGAUCGACAGAAAAAGUAAUUUUCGUCCUACUGAACAGCAAGAAGAAUAGCAUACCGGAAAAAUGGCAGCAUGAAAUGUUAGCAGGGCCAGCCAGAAACAGAUUAAGACACUGCGAUGUCUCGACUCGUAGGCAAGAAUAUAUUGUAUACUCUUUAUGUCUGACAGUGUCAGAUAUCAACAGAUCCUUCUUUUCUUUCCGAUGAUCAACUAAUCGGAAAUACCAAAUCCUAGAUUUCGCCAACAAAUUCGUAGUGUGCCGAAGCUCAAGAAACUAGCUGAAGUAGUACUCGAUUCGUAGUUUUAAGAGUAAGACAUAAUAAACACUUGGAAGCUAUAUACACAGGCAUCAAACUGUACAUCAUACUGAUCGUAACAUAGCCGAUUUUAGUUGGAAAUUUUGUAAGCGUUACGACGAGCGCACAAACAGAAACGAAAAACGGCGAACGCGAAGUAAACAAACCACAAACAAAAAAUAGAAUGAACAGACAAAUUUACGUGAAAAAAUCCUUUGCACAGAAAAACCACCAUUAUGCAAAAAAGGGAAUACAAUGUUCAGAAGAUUACUAUACGCUUCAUCGCGCUUAGGGCAAAAGAAGAGAAGACAAAUUCUUAAUGGAUUCUUCUAAACGGGUAAGAUCACGACAGACAUCCAUUUUUUCUUCACAAUUUAUUUUCCAAAAACAUUUGUUGCACCGCGAAAUUGUCGACGAAUCGGGAGCCCAAAAUCAAAGUCGAUAACCAAAUUUUGAGGCACCUUUAACGGUAAGUAAGUUUUAUACAAUGAUAGAUGAAAUUAUACCAUAAAAAAGUUGUAGAGUUUCAGAUAGUCAGCAAAGCCAAAUAAAUAAACACCCCUUCAAAAAAAAAAAAAGAAAAAAAGUGUGGACUAGCGUAAAUGGAGUAUUGUCUGUAACUACAUAUAAAAGACUCCUAAUUCUGCUCUGCCAACCCCCUUUUUAAACUACCAACAUCUUAAUUUCUUUAUCUUUCUAUGAAUCCAACAUUGAAAAAUAAAUUUCUAUAUAUGUAACUUAAAUUUUUUGGAGAACAACGAUUGUUUCAUAUAAUUUAAUGCAGUAUAUCGCGAUUAUUUGGGACAUGAGGCUCAUUUCUAGUUGUUGAAAAAAAAAAAAAGAAUUAUAGAAGUUUUCAGAGCAUUUAAAAUUCACAACCUUUCAAACAUUUAUUAUGCCUCUAAAUAAAAUAAACCAUCAAUUUAAUGAACAAAAAAAAACAAACAAACAAACAAAAUGAGCAAAUUUCAGAGGAAAAAGGGAACCAUUUUGAGACAUACCCAGAACUGGGGGAUUUGAUGGGUCUGCUUCUUGAGAAUUUCUCCACCUGCAGGUUGAAAAUUCCUGCACCCUUGAAUCUUGAUGUGGUGUGGUGUUGGUGUGGUGUGGUUGGUUUCUGUGCCCAGAAUAGCAGAGAGAGGGGGUUUUGGUGGAGCUUUCUGAAACUGCUUCUUGUGGCAGCUUGUUACAAAAAGCACUUUUGAGGCAGAGAAAAGAGAUCUAAGCCAAAGAAGGAUUAAUUUCACAUUUAUCCCCAAACUUUACUUUAUUUGAUUUUUAGUCCCCUGCCCUUUUCCCCCUUUUUUUGGGCAAUGGGGGUCUAUAAUCUUUAUUAUUUAUUUCGAUCGACGAAAAUUAUUAUCAUGUUACAAAUUUUGACAUUGAUGUGAUAAAUCUUAGUCGUUAUGUUAAAUUUAAUAAAAAUUUUAACAAUAAAAUUUAAUAGUAUUAAAAAAAUGGCGCAUCGUAAUAAAAAUAUCUGAUACAAUAUGAAAAAUAAUUAGGCCAUUGGCCAAAAUAAAAGAAGAUAAAAAAAUGUAUGGAGAACCCCCUCAACUGUAGACUGGCUUGAAUCGGCCGGUUAACUUUUAUUUUACUUUCUAAUAUGUUGGAAUCAAAUGAUUUUGGUCGAAACCAGAUAUUUUUUUUAAAAAAAAUCAUUGCUAAUUUUACCAAAUUUAAUAAUGUUAAUCACUUUUUAAUGGAUAAAAUCAGACCAAGAGUUUUUAAAUUUAAGAAAAGUUUUAAUAUAACUAAGUAUGAAAACUCAAGUCAAAAGAGAAAAUAGAUGUUGAAGGGUCUCAAUCCAAAAAAAAAAAGUUGCUGGGUCCACUUCAAAACGACGCACAGUUGAGGGGGUCUCCAUACAUUUUUACAAAAAAUAAAAGUCAAAAAAAAAAUAAAAAACACACAAAAUUGGUGGGGAGGUUUGACCGGUCAAAUGUGUUAUCCUCUUCAAAUUGCGCAAGCGAGGGAAUCGGAUAGGAUACGGUAGGGAAUGUUUGAAUGUCUUCGGAUAAAUUGUAAGUUUGGUCCUUAAACUAUGAAGAAGUAGCACUUUGGUCCUCUAACCUUAUUUUAUUGCACUUUUUGUCUCGAAUUUUUAGAAUUAUUACAAUCAAAUUUUACAAGCCAGUUUUAUUGAUUAAAUAUUAAUGUAUCAUUAAUGUAGAAAAAUGAAGUAGCAGCGUUAUGAUUGAUAAUGCAGUAAUAAUUAAGAUGCUACAUUUUUUUUAGGGUUAAUUUUAUACAGGUCCCUACAAAUAUAGUGAAUUACAAAUAUAUUCCUACAAAGUUCAACUUUCAUAUGUUGACCCUUCAAAAGUUCUAAAAUUUUUAAAUAUAUUCUUCUGGUUUGUUACCAUUAAAGCAUUGUUUAUUUAUAAGCGAAAUGAUCUUUGUGCCAUCACAAAUAUGUCCCUUAAAAAGUCCUAAUAUUAAUUGGAGAAGGAUAAAAAGAUCAAUUUAUCUCAUUAACUAAUUAGGAUUAAAUAUUUUAUCUAUGACUAACUAAUUUUUUCUAACGGAUCUUAACGACAGAGAUAUAUUUGAAAAUAUUAGGACUUUUACAGGAACAAUAUAUGAAAUUCAACUUUAUAAAAAUAUAUUUGUAAUUUACUAUAUUUGCAGGGACCUGUAUGAAAUUAAUUCUUAUUUUUAUAUCAACGAUGCGUCAAUAUUUUAUCAACUAAAUAGGAUUGUAAGGCUUGAUUAUAACAGUUAUCAAAAUUUGAGUCAGAAAUUAUAAUAAAUUAAAGUUUGAAGAUAAAACGCACACAUUAUUUAGGAAAAACUCCAGAUAGCCUUUCUGUGUUUACUAAUUUUUUGCUUUAGUAUGUUGUGAUAUUAACUGAAUCACUUAAGUAUGUUGUGGUUUCCAUUUUUAUUAUUUUUCUUUACACCCUCCGUUAGCUUCUCCAUUAAAUCCAUCAUGUGCUAUGCAUAUAUGUCGGAGAUAUUACACAAAUGACUGUUUUAAUAGAGAAGUUAACAAAGGGUGUAAUGAAAAACGAAAAUAGAAACGGUAUGGUAUUUGAGUGAUGCAGUUAAAAUCACAUGUACUAAAGCGAGAAAGCGGUAAACCGCACUGCACCAUUGGUCUCAAAUCUUCAUUCGUUUUGUCACUUUGUAACCAACCUUUUUUCGGCUACUAGGUCUCUAAACUUUAUAUUUUGUUUUGGUUGUUUCCCAACCACGCCACACCAUUCAGAUUCCUGUUAAUUUUGACGGAAUAGACCAUCUCACCAAUAAAAUCUUGCUUACUUAUGUAGAUUACUGUCAUGAUUCGAUACCCGCAAAUCAUUCUCGAUUUUUCAUCCAGCUAGGCGUCAAGAGUGCAAAGUGCUCCAAAAGAGGCCGUGAAUAUCGUGUGUGAGGUCGGGGCGGUCGUAGACAUGGAAGACGACAUUGAGAAUGGCGAAAUUGGGCUUGACGCAAUACGUGUGCAAUUGGCAGAAGAGAUUAGGGGCCAGAGUGAAAAAAAAAAGUAAAGGUUGGGGAUUGUGUAAGUAAUUCUGAUGGUUAUGGAUCUGAUUGCAAAAAUUAAAAAGUCGCAGCCCAAACUAAAAAAAUCAGGUAAAAAUUGGGGACCAUUAACCCUAUUAUUUGGGCUAAACUACAAAAAUCCCCCUUACGCUUUGCUACUUGUCUCUAUUAUCACUUUGCAUAAAAUUUUGUCUUAAUUUGAACCAUACAUUUCUGUUCGGAUAUAGAAAUAAAAGAUAUUUAAUAAUAACGUAUUAUAAAUAUUUUUUGUGAUUGGAACAUAGGAUCUUGAUAUUUGCUUCGUAAAAAGUCUCAAUAUCUAAUGAUUUGAUAGGAUAUCAUAUUUCACAUACACCGUAAUUUAUUUUAUUUUAAAAGAAUGAUUUGAAAGUUGUAUAUAAUAUAUCUAUUCUAGAGAAAUCACACUCCUCAUCUGUUACAUACAAUAAGUUAUGGAGUAACCAAUUAUUUCGAAAACACGUGCUGAUAGAAAAAACGCAUUCAUCGUACUUAAGGGCUCAGCGACAGCAUUCACGUGUUUCGACCUUAUUCAACCCAUCUAAACGUUAAUUUUAUUGUUAAGUCUCUUAUUGUUAGGAUUCUUAUGGAUCGUAGCCCCACUCAACUUAGGAGACUCACCCAACUCAACUAUUAGCCGUUUAGACCUAUUAUCACAUGGCAAGAAGUUGGACCUGUUUUAGCCAAUAAUAAAUAGCCAACACAAAUUUCUUGAGUAUAUUAAAAAUAUAUAUUUAGUAUAAUUUUUAUGCAUCCAAAUAGUCCCAACUAUUUAUCAGAAUUUCAAAUAGGUCCAAACAUUUGAAAUAAUUAUUUGAAUUCAUGUCUAAACCAUAGACAAAAUAAUUUGAGAUAUCAUGUUAGUUCCACAAUUAAACAUUGAUGCAAGUUACAGCAGUAAUAGUAUAUCUAAACUUGAAUAAAGAGAUUUUGUUCUUUAAUUAGAGCAAUCAAAAUUGGAUGCUUAGAUGGUAAGUUAUUUAAGGGUUAAUUGCAUAUAGCUUCCUGCAAACAUAUCGAAUAGCAGAUAUAUUCCUACAAAGUUCAACUUUUUAUAUUUAUCCCUAAAAAAGUAUUAAUAUUUUCAAAUACAUCCCUACCGCUAGGAUCCGUCAGAAAAAUAUAGUAACCAUAAGUAAAAUAUUUAACUCUCAUUACUGAAUGAGUUAAAUUAAUCUUUUUACCCCUCUUAUAUUAUUGGAUAAAAUAUUUUUUUGGGAGGAUAUUUUUGUAUAAUUUUAAUAGUUGGGAUUUUUUGAGGGGUAUAUUUGUAAGGUUAAAAAUCUCAUUUCACUUAUCUGCUAUUAAAAAAUAAAUAAUGCUUUAACAGUAACAAAUCAGAGGGCAAAUAUGAAUAUUAUUGAACUUUGUAGUGAUAAGAAUGAAAAGUUGAAUUUUGUAAAGAUAUAUUUACUAUUCGAUAUGUUUACAUAGAGCUGUAUGCAAUUAACCCUUUAUUUAAUAUAAGUGCUUAUGUUUUAUGCAAUCUAAUAGAUGUUACAAGCCAACUAAACUUUAUUAUGAAGUUUCACACCCAAAUUUAGUAAAAGACAAUCUUGGCAUAGACACUUCUUUUCAAAACUUUUUGGAAAAAUUUCAAAUACCAUCCCUGUAGUUUUACACUUUCUCACUUUAGUAUUUUGUGGUUUAAAGUGUAUCAAUUUAGUGUCUUGUGGUUUCAUUUUUAUUUUUUUAUUAUCGGUUUUACUAAUUUUUUUCGUUAAAUUAAUGACAAAAUUAAAAUUAAAGAGUACUAAAGUGAAUAUUCGAUAAACCUAUGUGGGGUAUAUGAAGUUUUUUGUAUAUAAUUUAAUUAAAUAUUAACGAAAAAGCUGAUAAAAAGAUAAAAAAAGAAACCACAUGACACUAACUUGAUACACGUUAAACCACAGAAUACCAAAAUGAGAAAGUGUGAAACCACAGUUAUGGUAUCUGAAGUUUACCCAAACUUUUUCCUCUCAUAGCUCAAAAAUUUGUGCUUUGUCUCACUGUGGUCUAACUUAUUUUUACUUGGACACUUGUGAUUUAAAAGGUUGAACUUAACUAUCUCUUGAUUUAGUGCAUUUUUUCACUUUGCCACUCUCUGAUUUUUUUUGUCAGUUUUUACUAGGCUUUUGUUUUUUGACAUAAAUUUUUUUAGUGAAAUAAAAAUUAAAGGAUAGAAAAAUAAAGUGUAAUUUUUCGAAUCACAGGAUGUUACUGCAGGGCAAUUUGAAGUUUACCUUUGAACCCAAAUAUUUAUAUAUCAAAAGAUACCCUUUUGAGCUCUCUGAUCAUCAAAGAGUUUCCAAUAAAUUUUAUAAAAUUUUAGUUUAAAAAAAAAUAUUAACAUGAUUAGUUUAAUAGUUCCAUCCACCCAAAGACUAGGGAAUAUAUUUUAGACCCUAGUCCAUAUGAAUACUAUUGCUGAAAAAAGAAAGGAUAAAUUGCAUGCUUGGCCCUCAAACUAUGAAGUCGGUGACACAUUGGUCCUCAAAAGCAAGUUCUGUAAUCCGAUUUAGUUGAUUAAAUAUUAAAAAAAUAUUAAUAUACUGUUAAUACAGAAAUGAUAUAGAAAUAUUAUGUUGUAUUGAUAUUUAACCAACAAAAUAAAAUUGUGAGACCUGAUUGCGACAAUUCUAAAAUUUCAAAUUAGAAAUUACAACAAAUUAAUAAGAGCCAAAUGUCACCAGUCCCAUAGUUUGAGGGCUAAUGUACAAUUUAACCAAAAAAAAAAAAAAUCCUAGUCAAUACUGAUGGCUAAGGAACAAUGAAGCAUUUAUUACAUCCACCAAAUUGCACUUCUCCACAAGGAAAGUAGGCAAGGAAAGAGGGCAAAUUGCACAACUAGUCCCCAUACUUUAAGACGUUUUCAUUUUGGCUAUAAAACUUUUAAGUUACCGGCUGUCCCUAGCGCAAGUGGCAAAGGACGUGAUGGUUGGUAUCUGAUAUCCCAAGUUCGAAUCCUAAUUUAUUCAUAUUUCUAGAUAACUUUAUUUUUAAAAAAAUAAUGAAGCCGAUAGCAUACUACCUUUCUCUCAAAAAAAAAAAAAAAACUUUUUAAGUUUGACAUUGGACACUGUAUACUUCCAAAAUUGUGAAAUAAAUAUUGCCUCCAUUUAGAUCAUGUUUGUAUGUCAUAAUAAGUUAUCUAAAAAUAAAUAGAUAUAAACAUUUUCUCAAUUGGUUGCAAGUAAAAAAGUUUUUUUAAUUUCUUAAAAAGUUUUACUAUUCAUGAUUUAGUAGUAUAGGAUAUUUUACUUACGAGAUGAUUUAUAAUAUUUCAUUUUAAAAUAUUUGAUCAAACUAUUUCUUAAAUAAAUCAAGAGAAUAUAAUAAACAAGAUAUUCAUGCAUGUUCUGUGAUCUCUCUUCUAAUGAAAAUCACACCUCUAAUGUUGAUAAAUUACUAAACAAGUUCUAUCAAAACUUUUAACAAGAAAUGUUUGUAUAGACACAAAUGUGUCUGAUAAGCCAACAACUGAUAGGGACAAAAAGAGGGUGCUGAUGAAGAGAAGAAAAGAAGAAAUAAUAAUAAUAAAAAUAGAAAGAGAAAUUUCAACUGAACUUAUUAGAAAAUGUUAAUUUUUUGUUAAUAUUUCUGUGUUCUUCAAAUCCUUCCUAUACCUUCACACAACAGCAAGAUCAGAGCCAUUAGCUCAGCCAAAAAAGAAAAAGAAACAAUAUAUAUAUAUAUAUAUAUAUAUAUAUAUAUAUAUAUAGAGAGAGAGAGAGAGAGAGAGAGAGAGAGAGAGAGAGAGAGAGAGAGAGCGCUAGGCUGGUAUACUAUCGGUAGCACGAAGAUCCGUGUUACUAAGUUAUUUUUAAUGAUGCGGCUUUCAAAUCGACAAUCGGUUCCGUUAGAUUUGAUUUACACUAUUGAAAAUAUUUAAGAAUUAAAUUUCAUAAUUUUUCGAUGGCUAGUGAUUAAAAGGUCUCAAAAUUGACAAUUUUAAUGGUCGAUGUGAUGCGUUUGUGAAUUUAACGGUGUGAAACAAUAUAAAUCUGACAGAAUUUUUAUCGAAAAUUUUUUUUCGCUAUUUAGAGUAAGAUUAGUACCUGAUGCAAACCGAGAGGUUGCCAAAAAUGAAUUUUCAAGUUUGCUUUUGUUUACAGGUAAAACUAGGUUCAAUUUAUCAAUUCCGAUGAACUUUAAGCAAGAAAGCAAAAAUUUCAGCAAAACAAAAAUUAAAAUCGAAUUGAAGUAAUACUAAGAUGAUGAUAAACCUUCAAUGUAUGAGAUAAUAACAACCAACUGAAAAUACAUAUAAUAGUUCCAAAAGGUAAAUUCGACUUUAUCAGACUUAAAGCUUUAGGUUUGGUUGUUUGGCAAAUAUGGUUGGUAAUGGUGGAAGGCUAGAUUAAAAGGGCAUAAUAGGAUGUCAGAAAAUGAGAGAUACAAAAAUACACCGUUCACAAGAUUGCGGGGGAUCCACGAUCGACGAGGAGGGCGGUACACCACGGAUAGAACUUCGGCAACGGGGAAGAAGAAGAUGAGGUAGUGACUCGGAAGAAGAGGAGGGGUAGAAGUAGAAGCCGAUCUUAUCACGAGGAAGAAGCGACAACAAUCAAGUUGAGGAAGAAGACGAUCUCGAUGCGAGGAAGAAGCGUCGAUGAUCUCACCGGGAAGUAGAAUACCAAGGAUAAAGAGUGAGAGUAGAAUUUUCUAUUCAUCCAAAUAUAUCUCCCUUAAGGUCUCAAGAACCAUGUAUUUAUAGUGUUGAGAGCUUUAUGAUAAUAAAUUAUUGCCUUUUCAUUUUCAACACAACACGAUCACCCAAGAGUCAUGCAUUGAAAACGAAGCAAUUUCGAAAAUUUCAAAGGUCUUUGUUUUUGAGAAAUUUCAAAGGUCUUCUUGGGAUUAUUUUUUUGUUUAUGGGAGAAAAGGGUUUGGAUUAGCCAAAUCAACUAAAACCAAAUAAUUUAAGUUCGAAUCAAACACGAACCUACAAAAUAAAAAAAAAUUGCAUUUGAAAAUAAAACGAGAUUUAUUUGCUGCAUCAGUACCUCUGAUCUUAAAUUCAAGUUUUCUAUCAUCAUUUUUUAUAAGAUUUUUAUUUUUAAUCGUUUAUUUUUAGACUACUCGUUUGAUGGGUAAUGACGUCGAAAACUUAUGAAAUUUAGUUUCCAAAUACUUUCAAUAUUAUAGAUCAAGUCUAACGAAGUCGAUCAUUGAUUUGGAAGCUGUAUCAUUGAAAACAACUUGAUAGCACAGAGGCCUCCGUGCUACCGAUAAUAUACCAGUCGGAUUCUCUAUAUAUAUAAAAGGAAAAUAAAAAAAGGAAGAGAAUUGUGUGGAUAUAAUUUUCAUACUUGGGGCCUAUUUGUUUCACCGAAGGUGAAGUUGAAAUAGACUUCCGGGUAAACUAAAAUUCAAAUAAAAAUUACUUCAAUUUUGUUGUUUGUUUGUAUAGUCGUUGAACUAAAAUUUUUCCAAUUCUACUAUUUGUUUAGUAAAAAGUAAAUAACAUAAAAACUAGAAGUGUGAGAGAUAGUUAAUAUUUUUAUCACUUUUUUUUUCUUACUAAUUGACAUCGAUUUUGAGUGGACCGAAAUCAAUUACUAUAUUUUGGAAAAAUUGAGUUUCAACCAAAGGUGAAGUUACGAUAAACUAAACAACGAAAGUGACAUUUACGAUCAAAAAUCAUUUCACACCUCUCCACUUUUGAUAAAACAAACACACCUUUAGGGCUUGUUUGUUUAGGUGAAAAUGGAUAGAGGUGAAGUCGUUUUCGACCGUAAAUGAUCAUUUCUGCUGUUUGGUUCGCUGUAAUAAAGAUUCUGUUGAAACUCGAGUUAUCUGAAACAGCGUAAUUAACGUCGGUCCACUCUGCACCGAAGUCAAUUACGGUGGAGAGAGGUGAAAGAAAAAAAACAAAAUAAUACAAUAGGCAAUACUAGUUAUAUUUAAAUAUAUUUAAUUAUAGUACUAAUUACUUUUUUAUUUAGUUCGCAUAUUUAAAAUAUAAUAAAAGUUGAUUAGUUAAAUUUUAGUAUUUUCUUCAUUUAGUUUUUAGUUAUGUAUUGAUAUUUUUCUUUACUUUAUAAUUUUAUUGUUGUAUUAUUAUGAUUUAUGUAUAAAACAAUAAUUUAAUUAUUUUAUAUUAAAUUUUUUAAUUAUAUAGAAAUAUAAUUAUAUUAUUUUUAUUUAUUACAUUAUAAUUUUAUAUUAUUCACUUCCUGCGAAACAAACGGCAGGGCUGAGAAACUUUAUUUCCAUAACAAUGAAAGCAAAUAGCAGAAAAAAAAUAGUUUUUUAUCUGAACUCCAUUUCAACCCAAGGUCCAGUUUCGGUGAAACAAACAAGCCCUUAUAGUCAUCCAAUAGAUGACAAGAAGAAGCUGAAAAUAUACAAAGACCCCCUCAACUAUAGGCCAAUUCGCAAAAGGCCUCCCCAAGUUUUUUUCUUUUUCGUUUUUUUCUGUUUUUUUUUUAUCGAAACUCCUCAUCAACUUCGGCUUGUUUCGAUUUGAAUUGUUUCGUCAAUUAAUUGGGGAUUCUGUAAAAAUUGAUAAUGAUUUUCUGCCUUUUCUUUCGAAUCGUCAAAGAAGUUUUUGUUAAUUCACCAGAAUCCCCAGCUCAGCCGGAACCAACUCAAAAUGAAGCAAGAGAAAGUUGAGGUGCUGUCAAUUACAGGAAAAAAAAGGAGAGGUAAGAAAGGUGCUUACUUCAAAAUGGUCUGUAGUUGAGGAAGUCUGCACUCUCCACAAGCAACUUGAACUAUUCAGCAACAAGUAGCAGAUUAUGGUCGAACCCUGCCGCCGCUUGCAAAACCUGAAACCCUUCUAAACACUCUAAAAGCGCAGGCUCCACCUCGUCCGUCGAGCUCCCCAGCCCUAGCCGGCCGUUCCGGCCCGACCCCCACACCCACACUUCACCCUUUGAAGUUAGAGCAAUCGAAUGAACCCGGCCCGCCGACACAGCAAUUGGAUCUUCUCCACUCAGGCCCUCGACUAAUAGUGGAAUGCCUUCUUGGCCCUGUCGACCGAGCUGAGAACUUCGAUUCCAUCCCCAGGAAAGAACUGCAUUGGAUUCGUUUUCAUGCUCAGAUUCCGUCUUGCAUAAAAGUAAAGAGUGGCCAAGGCCUGCUGAUACUGAGAGGGGUUUAAAGUUGAAGUUUGUUUCGACGGGGAGCAACUUUGAUCCUUCAGUUGUACGGCCCAACUGGCCGUAUGUAUUGUCUCCGCAGCUCAAAAGAGUUCCAUCACCUGAAAUUAUAUGAAAGCACUUCAGGGAAAAAAUAAAUUGUGUAAGAUACUCCUGUGCAUAAACUAUAAAUACAAAUACGUCAAACAAAAUUUGGAACAGCUUAGUGCUCAUAUGCCACUAUUUGUUUUUUCCGUUCUUUCGCGCAAAAGCUCGACACGAUUGAAGGCAUUUAGAUAUGAUUUUCUCUAAUUUUUAAUAUUGCUAAAUUGUUUGCCAGCUCUGUAUACAGGUUUUUGUUUGCCAGAAAAGAAAAAAGAAAGGUGGAAGCAACCUUCGUUUGUUUCUAAUCUCUGACAAAAAUGGCGAAUUUGCAAUUUGCAAAUUAAGCAACAACAACACCUUAUUUAGUUUCUUUUUCUUAAAUAAAAAAACACAUAAACAAUGCCAAACAUGCACCUAAUGAUUAAAAAAAAAAACAAAAAGAACUUCACAGCUAAAGAAGACGACCUUUACUAAUAACCAAAUUUAAUUGCUCGUUCGGUCCAGGCGAAGCCGGGGUUGCUAAUACAAGAAGUGACAAUUAGCAAUAACUAUGAAAGGGAUGAAAGGAAAUUGGAGAAUAAAAAAGGAUGCUAAGAUUCAUGAUGGAGAAAAGGACAAUGUUAUUUAAAAAAAGAGUGGGAAAUUUCUUGCAAGUGAAUACUCACAGCAUAGAACAAGAGAAUGGUCGAGCCCACAAGAUACAUCGGACACGUUAAUAUCACUCAGUUCCCGAAUGAGAGAUGGUUCCCAGAUGAUAGGCAUGUUAUCCUCUCUCUCUAUUCUUUCCGCGACAAGUUCCUCAGCAAUUUCUAGCAUAGACUUGGAUUUGUCCCUGUGUUUGUCCAAAUCAGGUGGUUGCUUAGAAGUUGCAUCAAAUAUUUGCCCCAUUUGUCCUAACCUCCCAUCUUCUGAAUAACCCCAGCCAAAUAUUUUUCCGUCCUUAGUCAACGCAAAUGCAUGUCCCCAUCCGAAUGAGACCUGCCACAAGGAUAAACACAUGUUCAUGGCUUCGUGUAAAUGUCAAAUUUAAGAAUUCAUGCAAUUGAAGUAUGACAUAACUUCUGAGAGGCAGCAAAAAAUAAGUGUACAACCUUAAUUGAUGAAUGACCAACCUGCAAUUGAAGAAACAGGAAUAACUCUGUCACUUGCACAAUCAAAAUACAUACAGCUAGUUUCAAUUUUAACAAUUUAGAGUCAAAUGUAUGAUCCACUAAAUAACCAAGCGCUUUCAUUAGUUUACUGUUUGAAGAAGCCGUGUCAGCAUUGUUCGCUGCUAGCUCCAAUUUCAAGAAUCUGCCAUGUAAGCAAACACCAACAAUCUGGCGUCUUAUUUCAGACAGAUUGACUAACAAGGCUUAAUUCUUCUGGAAAAACAAGCAUACAGAGACUAAUUAUCCAGGUUGAAACUCUGAUGCCUCGACCAAAUUUUGGGCCAAAUUUCAAGAACUAAUUUGUAAUUAACCCUUUCUAGUACCACACACAUAUUCUAAUACUUUUAACACAUUGAUUUCAAACUUUUUGUUACUCCUGAUUCAAGUUCCAUUCCAAAGAACUCAAGCAAGGGAUGGUGAAUAAUGAUUCCUUUUCUGUUGUCAUUGGAAAUAAGAGUAGUUUCUUUUCUAAGAAAAGCAUCAACACCUUAACUACAUCAUGCCCUGCAAGUGCCUCUACUCUACAAGGUUUUGUAGCUUCUGUUAUUUCUCUGCCAAGACCAAGUUGGCCGCGCUUGGAUCUUCCCCAUACCCACAAAGAACCAUCAUCACCAAUAGCGGCAGAAACAACACCUGAUGCAGCAGCAGCCCGAACUUUCACGUUAUCCAAUCCUACGACCCUUUGAGGAAUGCUCCAUGUUUCUCUGUAAUGGCAAAAUGAAGCCCAUUUACACAUUUAGCUACUGUACCGUAACAAAGAGAUAUUAACGCCAUCUGUAUGACAUAAUAUCCAUUUAAAGCCCAAGCUUGCAUAGCCUUUUUAGCUUCUGAGAGCAAGCUAAAAAUGCAGGCAGAGCAACUUGGCCUUAUUUAUUACAGUUUGUAAAAUUAGUAACAGAGCAAUUCAUGUACUGGCAAAGCAAGCUUCCUGUAGGAUUUGUAAGUUUUAUUUUUAAAGUAGGUUUUGCCCAAUUGAUAAUCCCUUUGGUAAAACUAAGUACUGCUCACUUUAUGGAUGCUAUUAAGUUGUUAACCAAGUCAUGCAGCAGUAAUAUGUAGUAGCAUGACUAAUGUGUAUUUUGAAAUUGACCUUGACUUCAAAUUGACAGUAAUAGGUUCAUCCUGGGUUUAUAAGCUACUACAGCAAACAAUCUUCUGCAUCUCCAAGAAAACGUGGAGCUUCUGCAGUAGCGGAAACCAGAAAUGCAAUUGUGUCUUGAAGCAGAAUUUCCAUUUUGAUGAAUUUGAUUCUGCUGAAGAAAAAAACUGGUAGAGGUAUAUUAAAAUAGUGCUUCUCCUAAUAGCACUGUACAAGUAAACACUUCACCAAACAACACUACAUCUUAAAGCAAAGCCGGACAGGCCCUAACAUUAAAAGAUUGCAAAUUAUAUCAUUUUUGCUAGUGAACACUUUAAAAUAAACUUUCUUUUCUUUAAUAAAAUGACCACUCUACCCUCAAGGAAAGUUUUUUUAUAAUUUUUACGAAAGAAAAAAAGAUCUCAGAAUCAUCCGAACUUCACAUAAUUUACAAUUCACUGUGUAAACUUUAUAACAUUGAAAUUUACUGCCUCAACAAUAAUUCCAUUGCAGUCCAGCACAAAACCCUCAUUUCCGUUUAUUUAGUCAAAUGCCCUUUAUGUGAGACCCCAAGUAGUCCUAUAUAUAAGAUAUAAUAGGGCUAAAACUCUUAAUCUGGCUAUAGCAUUUUAGGAGGUGGUUAGGCCCAAGAGGUUAAGAGGAUUAAGCGUGCAAGACUUAGAAUUGCUCUAGGAUGAGUGACCCUCUGGGAAGUGGGACAUCACAGUUGGUAUCAGAGCCAAUUACCAACCGAAAAGUAUGAGAUGAGUCUCGGCUGAGCAAAGUUAUGUAGCAGGGAGAGCGUGACUCUUAUGCUGAUGACUGUUGUAGGUAGAGCGCGGCCCUCCCACAAGGUCGGUUAAGGCUAACAAGACAAGUCUCACAUCGCUUGGUACUUGUGAGUCUGAGCUUGAAGAGGACGUCAGGGUUUAAAGAGGAAAAAAUGUGAGACCCCAAGUAGUCCUAUAUAUAAGAUAUAAUAAGACUAAAACUCUUAAUCCGGCUAUAGAAUUUUAGGCGGUGAUUAGGACCAAGAGGUUAAGAGGGUUAAGCGUGCUAGAUCUAGAGUAGCUCUAGGAUAGGUGGCCCCCUGGGAAGUGGGUGUCACACUUUAGUUACAUAAUCAUAUGAGAUGAUUCAAAUUUCUGAGUGAAUGAUCAGCUUGGCAAUUCAUGUGUUCGGCAAAGUGGUUAAUUUUCCUAACAAAUGCCUUGCCAAUUUGACAAAAACGAGGGUUUUUUAACGAAUUACAAUAGAAUCAUAAUUUGGGUGGUAAAUUGCACACUUUUUAAAGUUCAGAUUGCGAAUUGCAAAUUGAGCAAGUUUAGGUGGUUGUGAGGCUUCCUUUCCGGGUAAACUUAAAUUUACCCCUCGUGGGUUAAAAAAAUAACAAUCAAAACAUCCUAUCAUUUUAUUUUUGUUUUCUUUUAAGAUCUUACAGUAAAAUAGAAUAGCAAAAUGAUACUUUUUGCGAACCACAAUAUAGCAUUUCAGCAUCCUACAAUCUAUACUUUAUCCCUAGUUUGCAAAAAAAGCAUCACUUCGCUAUCCUAUAUAACUGUAGGCUCUUAUCGUGAAACAAAAUACACUAAGGCCCUGUCUGCAUAUCAUAAUAAGAUAUCCAAUGAUAACUUAUUCGGUAUAAAAGUUUUCUAAUACGAUUGGAAGUUAGGAGUUUGAUUUUUGCUCCUUGAAAGGUCUUGCCAUCUAUGACUUGGUAGGAUACCAUAUUUCACCUACGAGGUAAUUUAUCUUAUUCUGAAAAAAUGACUUGUAAGCCGAAUAUCAUAUCCAUUCUAGGCGUUUGAUGACACUACGUAUUGACCAAAUACUAUAUGCUUCUUCAGUGAGACCCUAUUUGGAUGUCAGAAUAAGUUACCAUUGGACAACUUAUUCGGUAUGAAAAUUUUCUUAUGUGAAUGGAACCAAGAAGUUUGAUUUUUGCUCCUCAAAAGGUCUUGAUAUUCAUAAUAGAUAGGAUAUCAUAUUUCACUUGCAAGGUGAUUCAUGUUAUUUCGAGAAAAAUAACUUGAAAGUCGAAUAUGGUAUCCAUUCGAGACAUCUGAUCAUAUUCCUUGUCUACUGAAAACUAUAUGCUUUUUGAUUAAAUCAAAGUGAUAUAGGCCUUGUUCGGAUGUUGGAAUAAGCUAUCCAGUGAUAUCCUAUUCUGUACGAGAUUUUCCAUUGUGAUUGGAAGCUAGAAAUGUAGUCAAACGUUCAAAAUGGAACAACAUAUUCGGCCUUCCAGCCAAUUUUUUAAGAAUAAGAUAAAUAACCUUGCAGGUGAAAUAAGUGAUCCUAUAAAUCAUGAAUGCCAAGACCUUUUAAGAAGCAAAAAAUCAAACUCCUUGCUUCCAACCAUACAAGAAAACCUCCAUACUGAACAAGUUAUCAUUGGACAACUUACUCUGACAUCUGAACAAGGCUAAUAGUGUUUAAAAAAGCGCGCCUAGGUGCUAAGCUCAUCAGCUAGCGCCUAGGCAAGCGUGCCUAGAGCUAGGCGCAAGGCACGGUCAAGGCGCGCCUUCUUCAUAUCUAUCCUAACGGUUUGGAUUUAGAUCUAUAUAUGCCCUAAUGGGUUUGGAUCCAUAUAUUUAUUGGUCUAAUGGGUUGAAACAUCUAAAACUAGAUCCGAAAUCCUAAACUAACAUAAUCUAAGACCCUAAACAAUCAUCAAAUGACAAAGCUAACGAAGGAGAGGAGCAUUCUUCAUCAAGUGAUGAGGAUGAUAAUUGACGAUUGAUGAUUGAAGAAUAAGGACUAAUUAACAUUUCUAGUGUGACGUAUUUUGACUUGGGACUCUUGAAUACUUAGCUUUCAUAUGACGCCCUUUUAAUGAUCUUCGGCUUGAAACUUUAAACUUUAAACUUUUAUGCAUAUUACUUUUUUAUGAUCUUGUACUUGUAAUUAUGUGUGUUUCAAAUCAAAGUUUCCUACAUUUUUGUUAAUUAUUAGUUAUCUUUAUACUAGCAUUUAUUUGGAGACAGAAUGGUAAUUUGUUCUUUACUUUUAUCUGUCUAAAAAGUUAUCAUAUACGUUGGUUGGCUUCUUUUCUUUUCUUCAUUUCUUUUCUGUCGAAAACGUGGCUAUUUUGGUUAGUUAUAGAAUAUCUAUUGUGAUAAUAUGAUUUUAAAGAGUAUCUUUCCUAUCAUGCUUUUCUACCUUCGUAUCAUAUCUUUCCAAUCCCUGCAAUCCCAAGCAGAGUAUAAUCUGCUUAACAGUAAAUUGCAAAUUGGGCAAAGUUGAGAGGGAUCUGAGGCUUUUUUUGGGGGCUAAAUCAGCAUAACUUGUUAUAAUUUCUGGCUCAAAAUUUCUAAACUAUUGUAAUCUAAGUCCCAAACCCAAAGACUAAUUCAAAUUUAGUUGAGUAAAUACCAAUAUGUCGAGAAUGUUACGAUUGACGAUGCAACAAUAACUAAAAUGUUGUCACAUCGAUCAUCUCACGAGCUAAAUUAGAAUUACAUUGUGGGGCGACAAUUCGGAAAAGUUGGAGCACGGAGAGGGAAAGAAGGGACCUGAGGGAGGGGCGGCCGAGCUGGGACUCGGCGUUGCGGCCCCAGGACCAGAGGUGGCCGUCGGCGGCGAUGGCGAGGGAGUGGUAGUGGCCGACGGCGAGGGAGGCGAUCGCAAAGGAGGGGAGGGAGGGGACUCUGAGGGGCUCGUAGGCGUCGACGAGCGGGGGGAGCCCCCCCACGGCGCCAUUGCUGUUGUCGCCGAAGCUCCACACGGAGCCCACCGCCGAGGUUGCGAAGCUGCGGAGGAGACGAUGGAGAUGGAGAUGGAGAUGGAGAUGGAGACGAUGGAGAUGGUGGAGGGAGGAGGAGGAGGAGGUUGCUCCUCUCGGGAACGGUGGCAUUGGAGAGGAGGAGAGGAAGAGGGAGAGGGAGAGGGAGAGGGAGUUGGAGAUGGAGCAAUGAAGCAAGCAAAGGGCAUUUUUUGCGUUUAGCCCCUCUCAAAAAAAAAUUUACAAGGGACCCCUAAUAAAUUUAUAUUUGCACAUACGGCGCUAUGCUUGCCACGCCAGCACCACGUUUGUAUUUUUAAGUUAAGCAUGGUGAUUGAAUUAUUGUGUUCAUAUUUACACUCUAAUCCCUCUUUUUCUACUUGAACGAAAAAAAUACAAAAGAGAACAUGGUGAUGCAAUCAUCGUGUUUAAUCGUAUUCAAGCGCUCGCAUGAUAAGAAGAGAAAUAUUUAUUCAAAUGUAAAUUUGUUAGGAUUAUUUGUUAAAAAAUUUUGAUAGGGGUAAAUGCAAAAAACCCUCGCAAAGCAAAUAUAGUAGGGUUGCAAAACGGAUGUAAAUGGAUCCGGGUUGAUGGACUUUCGGCCCCGAUUCACGCCCCGAAUGAGAUCGCAAGUUGAAAGACGAAGAUUAAUAAAAAAAAUAAUGGGUAAAAUUUAGAAAAUUUUGAUGUAAAUACUUUUUUUAUUCACUUUUUUAUUUGAAUUUUAAAAAUUUAUAUUUUACUUCCUCAAAAUUUCAAGCUUAUGCCUUUAGCUCCCAUUCCUCAGGGUUUCGUUCACUCUUUUGUUUGUUUUUUAUAAUUUUUAUCAAAAAUACUCUUAAAAAUAAUAGAAAUAUAUUAAAAAAAUUUUGAAAAAAAUAUAAUUUGGUCAUUUCGCCUCUCCAUUAACGUUGUAAUCCACUGAGAAGAAAAAUAAUUUUAACAAAAUUGAUUUGGUUUGGAGAAUCAAUUUUAGUUAAAACCUGUUGAGCGUUUAACUAAGUUUAGAUGAAAAGUGAUUUUCUGAAGGGAUAUGUAAACAUGUUUGGCAAAAUCUUUUUAAUGUUGGCAUAUAAUAAUAAUUUUUUACUAAAUUCUUUUUAAAAAAUUUAAAAUUCGAAUUAAAAUUUUAAAUAUUAAAUUUUAGAUUUGCACAAAAUUUAAAUUUUGAUAUUUUAAUUUAAAAUUUAAAUUUAAAUUUGAAAAUUUAAAAUUCCAGUUUCAAAUUUAAAAUUAAAUUUGAAAUUUAAAAUGUAAUAUUUGAAUAUUUGAAAUUUAAAAUUUGAACAUUAAAAAUUUAAAAUUAACAAUUUAAAAUUUAAAAUAUAAAAUAUAAAAUAUAAAUUUUCAAAAUUUGAAGUUAGUAGUUAGAAAACAAAAACUUAUCAUUUUAAAUUUUAAAUUUAAUAUAUAAAUUUUGAUAUUAAAUUUAUAGUUUGAAAUUUAAAGUUUUAAGAAUAAAUUUAAAUUUUUUUAAAUUAAAAUUUUAAUUUUAAUUAAAAUUUGAGACUAAAUCAAAAUAAAAAUUUGAAUUUUGGCUCCAAAAUCAAAAUCGGAUUUCAAAAAGUAGGUUUUAGUUUUCUGAUUUUGAACCUCACAUAUUAGAAAAUUGAUUUUAAAAAUCAAAAUCAAAAUUUGAAAACGAGACCGCCUAAUGCUCUAUUGAGUCGAAAAUUACUUUAGAGUCCAAAAUUACUUUUCGAAAGGCAGACCAAACACCCAAUUUGUGAACUAAGAUACGAAGAUCUAGUCCCGGUCUAAUUUUGGAAACCAAUUUGGGAUGGGAGUUUUAGACGACUAGGCUUAUAGAAUUUUUUUAUUUUAACAGUAAGUAUUUGAUAUUUUUAUUUGUAAAAAAAUAGGUCUAAGCAGUUUAUUUCUUUCGGAUCAUAUCAUACACGGUGAAUAAAGUAAUGACGAUGCUUUUCCAAAAAAAAAAAAAAAAAAAAAAAAACCUAAAACUGUGGUGCAUCGUGCACCAGGUGCAUGCAAUAAUUUCUAGCUCGACGGCUCUGUAGCGAGAAAAGGUUCGCGCUCGCCCCACGAAAAAGCCUCCUCUCUUCCUCGCAAACACCCCAAACCACAGCUAGCGACGUUAAUGGCGGCCGAAUCCCCGAUCCAAACCCUAAUCCUAACCCUAACCCUAACCCUAACCCUAGGAAGCGUCGGUGGAGGAGGAUCACGAGCAGGAGGAGAUGGAUCGAUGGAGAAGACGAAGAAAAAGAGGAGGAGGAGAAGGAUCGAUGGAGCAAUGGCGCAGAGCGAUCCGAGUCGGAGAGCGAAAUCCUAAUCCUAAUCCUAAUCCUAAUCCCGGAGGAGAGGCGGACGCGGAUUUGCGGAUUUGUAAUUCAGUUUAAUUCUUGAUUCCUAAUGCAAUUAGAAUUGCAAUUCAAAAUAGAAUUUUCUUUUAUUUGAUUACACUGAUUAAAUCCUAGUAGGAUUAGAAUUAUAUGGAAAUAUAUAUUAUAAAUCCCCUCUUUCUCUCUCCCACACUCCCAAACUCUAGUUUACACUAACGCGCGCUCUCACACACACAAUCACACAAGCGCGUUUUUUUCUUGAUAACAUGACCGAGGACGAGAGAAAAAACCUGGUGGAGAGAGUGGUUUCCGGCAUUCGGAGCGGCAGCAGCGGCGCUGGUGAGCCCUCUUCAUCCGCCGCUUCGUCCUUUAUCGCUGUUGCUGGAGAUGAGACGACAGCGGCAGCGUGCUGUAUCUGCAAUAAAGCAUUCAAGACGGAGAAGGCGCUGUGCGGGCACAUGCGGACCCACCCGAGGUCAUGGAAAGGAGUGAAGCCACCCCCCGCGGCAGCACCGGCAGAACAGCAAGAAGGUCGUGAUGUUCGAGAAUCGGCUGCAGCAGAACAGAGAAUCCCUGUUCAAGAAUUGGUUCGGGUCAAUCAGCGCGCCGAGGAUGUGAAUCCGAGGAAAUUGGAAUCUGUUGUGAAUCAACUCUUGGUUCUUGCGGAAGAGUCACCUCAGUGGUGGCCGCAAGGUGAUGAUGGUGGUAUCAGUGAGAAUAACAUCACUAGCGACAGUAGUACUGCUGGUGGCGGCGGCGGCGGCAAUGGGGAAGUUAUCAUGAAAGACGGGUUCAAUGAACCAGCGAGCAUCAGCGUCGUCGCUGCAGGGCGGUGGGCGCGAACAUCGCUGCGCACAAUGGAACAGUGCCUAACGUGGAAAAGGGAACGAGCUCGAAAAAGAAGGGAAGCAGUAGCAGCUCUGCCGCAGGUGGCAGCGGUGCCCACACAUGCGAGAAGUGCGGGAGGACGUUCGCGACGGGGCAAUCGCUCGGUGGCCACAUGAGGAAGCACUACGAGGGCCCGCUGAUUAUUACAAACAAGAAAAGAACUCGCGAGCAGCGAGAGGAAACGCCCGCCCCGACAGUUGAGCGCAGAGUUUGUGAACCGGCCGUGCCAACUGCGCCUUUGGAAUCGUAUAAUCCUGCGCUCCGGUCGCAAUCCGUGCAAGCGAGCGACGGUGGUGAUUGUGAGAGGAAUAGAGAAGAACCUGAGAGGUUGUCGGCAGGCAACGGAGCCCGCCGUCUGCACAACUUCUUCCCUAAUGUGCUGGCAGAGCCAGAGGAGGAGCCUAAGAACGCGCCGCAGCCGGAACCGGAGAGGAAAGACGAUGACGGUGAUGAUGAUGAAUUGCUCUCCUUGCGACUUGGUCGGAGAUGUAGUGGUGUUUAAUUCUUUUUGUUUCUUUCUAUUAUUAUUUUUCUUCUUUUUUUGUUGCUCUGAAGAUCUCAUUUGGGAUAGUACAGCCCUUCAAUUCUUUGUAGUUCCUCAGAAGUUGAGACAAAUAAAGAAUGUUUACUGUUGAGUCACUUAGCAUCUGUAUUUGUUGCUUCACUUAAGUCAUUUUGGUCUUUUGGAUAAGUUGUGAUGAUGCGCAAAUAAUUAACUUCAAAUCCUCAGUUUUAACCUCUGAUUCUGCUUAGUUGCUAUUUUAAUCGCCGUAAACCUCGUGGAUAAAUUCUAACUAAACUAACUCUGUACUUAACAAUUACAUCAUGCAAAAAUGUUGCAUGCCGUAAUUGAUCAAUGAUUCUUGAUGCUUCACCAUGGUCUUUGGCUAUCUUAUGAUACUACUGUGCAGUAGUUGGUGUUACUUUAUUAUUAUAGUUUUACCUUCUAAGCUGCUUAGUAUGCAUGUCAAUGCCUCUCAAAACCUGGUGAUUUUGUUUAACUGUUGCACAAAGGAAUCACUCCUCCCUCCUGUGUUUUUGGUUAUAACAAAAUCUAAUUACAGAGAUAUUCUACAUGUCUAUGUUUUGAUGAUCAGCUCUUUUUUUUUUUUUUUUUUCCGAUUUUACGUUCUCAAAUUUGGAGGUAGCAUGUCUUGCGAAAUAUUUCAAACGUAACUGUUGGAUUGGUCAAAAUGUAUAAAACAAACUUAUCUGAAUCAUAGGCCAUUUUGAUUCGACUGCUCGACAUAUCGAAGCUUUGAUUUUAGUACCCAACCUCUCAAUUUGUUUGAUUUAAAUUAUUUGACGGCUUUCUUAAUGAACUUAUAUUUGCAUGAAUUGUAUAGAAUAUGCUACUGAUGUGCGUAUAUUCAAAUUUUGAUAGUAAAGAAUCAUUAACUAGCUCAAAUUAAAUAAAUUAAAAUGUUACGUAACAAAAAAAAAAAAAUCUAAAAAUUAGGCAGUCAGAUCAUCAGAUCAAAAUGGGUGAUUAUUGAGGAAAGUUCUGCAUAUUUUUACUUCAUGAUUUUACGUUUCCAUUGUGUUUUUUUUUUUAAAAAAAAAACAUUAGUUUUCUUAAGUUUCUCGACUAGCAAUGUUCUCUUGCUCAUGACUAUCACUAGAAUUGCUAGAGCUCUGCUUGAACUUUGUCUUAUUGCAAAAACCAAAAGAAUAACAACUGUUGCGUAUUUUACCUUAUAUAUAUAAUAUUAUAUAUAGUCCGGCUCUAUUACUAUUUUAUUACAAGUCUUGGUUUACUAUGAACGUUUUCUAAAUUAAUGAUUACUUUGUAUUCCACCGUUAGAUUAUACUAUUUAACCUAUACCACUAACGCUAGGGACAACUAUACAUCUAACCGCAAUUUUCAUCAACGGCCGAAAAUCGUAUAUACCAAGGGCUUGGUAGCUAGGAUAGGUAUAGUAGCUAGAUUAUAUUUAUAUAUUAUAAUAUAUAUAUAUAUCUAUAUAUAUAUAAUAUAUGUAUAGAGUUGAUGCUGAUACUUCUCGAUAGUAAACGGGGCAGUUUACUAGAUCGAGUUGUUUUCGAUGUAGAGCUUCCAAUGCACGAUCGGUUCGUUAAAUGAUGAUUCUAAACACAUCUUAAAUAUACAUAGAAAUCAAAUGUUCGAAUGCAAUUUCGAUAUUACUUCUUUUAUCCAGUCUAGUGAACAAAAAUGAAUGGACUGAAAAUGAAUAUUCUUUAAAAAUGAUGAUAGAGUCUUGGUAAUCACGAUCAAGAGUAUAGAUUUUCUUGUUUUUAAAUGUUUUAAAGAAUUAUAUAACAAAAUUCCAUUGAUUUGGAUAUCUUUACACGUAUUAACGAGGGAAAGUUCUUACUCCCCACCAUUAAAAAUUAUAAAUUUGAAAACUGGGAUCAUUAGGACCAAAUGAUGUCGAAAAAGAUUUGAAAUUUGGAUUUCUAAACACUCAAGUGGUAGUAGAUCAUGUGAUCAAUGGGAGCGCGUGUCAAUUUGGAAGCUUCUAUUCAUCGAAAAUACCAUAGUUAAAAUGCACCAGUUUAACUAUCGAGAGUAUUCAUAGUCAACUCGUAUAUAUAUAUAUAGAGUACCAGCUAUGAUUACUGUAAAGUACAAGAAUUUUGGCUUCUAUUACUAAGUUUUUUACGUAGAUAUAUAACUCCUCGGAUCAUUCAACAUAUAGAUCUAUUUAUUCAAACACCCACUCAACCUAGGGGGGCCCAAUAUCCUACUGGGGGCCAAUUAUUUUAAUUUUAAUGGCCCUAAAAAAAAAUCUAUAACACAAUAACUUUUGGUACUUUUCAAAGCAUAGGAGGUCCAUUAUAGUUAUAUAUAUAUAUAUUAUAUACCUAUAUAUAUAUAUAUAUUUAUUAUCUUAAUUAUAUAGAGUCCGGCUAUAUACUUUAGUGAGCAGUCGAUUCGGAAGUUCAUCAUCAAAAAUAACUUAUUGAAUUACGGAAGGGCCCAAAAUCAUAAGAGUGUAGUUAGCCAUACUAUUAUACAUUAUUAUUAUUAUAAUUAGGACUGGAUACUAUUUAAUAUGUAAAAAAGCUCUUUUUUUCUAUCAAGUUUUUAACCCUUGGAUGAAAAAUUGUAGGGCUCGGGAUGAUAUAGUGAGUUAGAGGUUGAAUGGUCCCCUAGAGAUUGAGCAGGUCGCUCACUGGGUAUAGUAAUUUAUCCAAUGGUUAGAAUAUGAAAGAGUUUAGAUACCAAAAGCUAAAAAACUUGGUUAGCACAAUAGAUUUUGCUACUAAUAGUAGCCAGUUUCCAACUCUCUCUCUCUCUCUCUCUUUUCUCUAUUUCUCUUCUCUCUCUUAUAUAUAUUAAAUUUUAUAUUUAUAAUGUAGGUUUACUAUGUAUCGGAGAUAGAGAAUCUAAUGCUUCCAACUUAUUAUUACAUUGGAUCAAAAAAUUAUAUGGUUCGUGAUGAAUUUCGGAUCCCCCCAGAGUUUUAUGGGGUGUGUACUCCACGUAUCCCACGAUAAUGUAUAAUUCCAAAGGUUUAGAAUGGAAUUUAAAGAGGUUGAUUUAAAAGGCCAAAAACGGAAGACUAUCCUCUAUGAUUUUUGAUAGCAUAGUAGCUCUAUAUAAUAAUAUAUAUUUACCUUUAUUACUAUAUUAUAUGUCCGGCUACUUACUAUUAUUUUACCAAGUCUCUGGUACUAUUAUUUUCUCCAUUUAGAUUACAUUUGAUCUUUCCACCGUGUAGGAUAUAUUAUUAAACAAUCCAUUAAACUAGGGACCAUAUCAUCAUAUCGCAAUCCUUAGAUCAACGGCCGAAACUCUAUAAGUACAAGGUUUGGUUAUGAUGUAUAGUAGAUAAUCUAGUAAUAUAUAUUAUAUUAUAUUAUAUAUAUAUAUAUAUAUAGAGUUGAGCUAGAAUAUUAUCGGUAGUAAACUAGCCGUUUUACUACCGAUUUGUUUUCGAUGAUAGAGCUUCCAAAUUGACGAUCGGCUCCGUUAAAUAUGAUCUAAAACAUUUAAACUACCUAGAAAUCAAAUUUCACGCACUUUCGAUAUUGUUUUUUUAUCCAUCAAGUGAACAGAAAAAUAAAUGGCUGAAAAUGAAUACUCUUUAAAAAAUGAUGAUAGGAGUCUUGUAAUCAAGAUCAAGAGUAUAGAUCUUGUUUUAAAUAGUUUAAAAAAUUUUCUAACAAAAAUUCAAUUGAUUUGUAUAUCCUUACGCUGUUAAACGAGAAAACGCUUCUUAUCGACCAUUAAAAUUACAAAUUUUGAAACUCUUUGAUCAUUAGGCAAAUGAUGUCGAAAAGAUUUGAAAUUUGAUUUCUAAACAUUUCAAGUGGUAUAGAUCAUAUUCAACGAAGCCGAUCGUCAAUUUGGAAGUUCUAUCAUCGAAAAUAAAUCGGUAGUAAAACGGUUCAUUUACUACCGAUAGUAUUCUAGCUCAACUCUCUCUAUAUAUAUAGAGAGAGAGAGAGUUGAGCUGGAAUGCUAUCGGUAGCAAACGGGCUUCAUUGUCACCCAUUUGUUUUCGACGAUGGAGCCUUCAAAUCGACGAUCGGCACCGUUGAAUAUGAUCUAUAUCACUUGAAGUAUCUAGAAAUCAAUUUUCAAAUUUUUUCGACAUCAUUGACCUAAUGAUCAAACGGUUUCAAAUUUUGUAAUUUUAAUAGUCGAUAUGAGGCGUUUUCUCGUUUAACGGUGUAAAGCUAUCCAAAUCAAUUAAAUUUUUGUUAAAAAAUUCUUUAAACUAUUUAGAACAAGAUCUAUACUCUCGAUCUUGAUUACAAAAGCCCUAUCAUCACUUUUUACAGGGUAUUCAUUUUAAGCCGUUCAUUUUGAUGCCCACUUGAUGACCAAGAGAACAAUAUCGAAAAAGGAUGAAAUUUGAUUUCUAUAUACUUCAAGUGGUAUAGAUCAUUUUCAACAGUACCGAUCGUCGAUUUGGAGGCUCCAUCAUCGAAAACAAAUGGGUGGCAACGGAUAUAUAUAUAUAUAUAUAUCUCUCUCUCUCUCUCUCUCUCUCUCUCUCUCUCAUCCGCGUCUCUCUCUCUCUUAUAUAUAUAUAUAUAUAUAUAUAUAUAGAGAGAGAGAGAGAGAGAGAGAAGAGAGAGAGUAGAGAGAGAGAGAAUUUAUCUGGAAUACUAUUAAUAGUAAAACGCUCUUUUUGCAUCAAGUUUUUAAUCCUUGGAUGAAAAUUGUAGGGUUAGGAUGAUAUUAGUCAGUUAGAGUUGAGUGGUCCUUUGCUAUCAAGUUUUUAACCCUUGGAUGAAAAAUUGUAGGGUUAGGAUGAUAUUAGUCAGUUAGAGUUGAGUAGUCCCCCUAGGGUUGAGUGGUCCCCACAGGAUUAUAGUAUUUAAUCCAAUGGUUAGAAAUGAUGAAAAGAAUUGAUCCAAAGGCUAAAAAACUGGUAGCAACAAUGAAAUUUUGCUACUAUUAGUAGCCCAGUCCAACUCAACUGACUAAUAUCAUUCUAACCCUACAAUUUUUCAUCCAAGGGUUAAAAACUUGAUAGCAAAAAGAGCGUUUUACUAUUAAUAGUAUUCCAGCCUAAUUCUAUAUAUACAUAUAUAUACAUAUAUAUAUACAUAUAUAUACAUAUAUAUAUAUACAUAUAUAUACAUAUAUAUAUAUACAUAUAUAUAUAUAUAGAACUAGACUACUAUGCUAUUAAUAGCACCAAGUCAUUGGUGCUAUCAACUUUUUGGCCAUUGGAUUAAAAGAUGUAUGGUUAGGAUGAUGUGGGCCCCCUAUGGUUGAGUGGGUAGCUGGUUGAAUAGUAUGAUCUAACGGUUAAAAAUGAUCAAAAGGAUGGAUCUAACGGCGGAAAACUUGGUAGCACCAAGUGCUUCGUGCUAUUAAUUAAUAGCAUAGUAGCCGGACUCUAUAUAUAUA
This 68479-nucleotide long non-coding RNA is filed under the name Ananas comosus (pineapple). RNAcentral's name for it is "long non-coding RNA (ACOM_LNC027729)". Lineage: Eukaryota; Viridiplantae; Streptophyta; Magnoliopsida; Poales; Bromeliaceae. The record is from RNAcentral.